This 63831-nucleotide long non-coding RNA is filed under the name Citrus maxima (pomelo). Its description in RNAcentral is "long non-coding RNA (CMAX_LNC002516)". The stretch from base 50811 to 50914 matches the Rfam family "Plant small nucleolar RNA R71". Lineage: Eukaryota; Viridiplantae; Streptophyta; Magnoliopsida; Sapindales; Rutaceae. The record is from RNAcentral.
UAUGAUGAAUAUUGGAGAGAGAUAAGAAAAAUUUGUGUCAUUCAUCUCUUUAACUCUAAUAGGGUACAAAAUUUUCGACCCAUUAGAGAAGAUGAAGUUUCAAGAAUGAUUGAAAAGAUUUCAAAAUCAGUUGCUGCUUCUAAUCCCGUAAACUUAAGUGAGGUAAUGAUGUCUCUUACCAGCACCAUUAUUUGUAGAAUUGGUUUUGGCAAGAGGUACGAUGAAGAUAAAGCAACAAGUGGAAGAAGUAGAUUCCAUGCCAUGCUUAAUGAAACUCAAGCCUUGUUUGUAAGCUUUUUUGUUACAGAUUAUUUUCCUUUCAUGGGCUGGAUUGAUAAGCUCACAGGAAUGAUGCAACGCCUGCAAAAUAACUUCCAAGAAUUCGAUAGAUUCUACCAGGAACUCAUCAACGAGCAUUUGGAUCCAAACAGAACUAAAUCAGAAUUGCCGCAACCGGAGGAUAUAAUUGAUAUUUUACUUCAAAUACGAAAAGAUCGUGGAUUUAAAGUUGACUUGACUUUGGAUCACAUCAAAGCAGUGCUCAUGGUGAAUAAUUUUAUAAAUAGUUAUAUGUAGACUCGUGCUUAGGCGCAGACUCAAAAUUUUGCGCAGAUACCCAAUUUUACAGUCUUGUAAAAUGUUUUAUAAUGCUGUAAAGUGCCCUUUGACGUCCACCUGAGCAUGAUUAAUUUAAUAUAAUUUUAUUUGCUUUUAAGUAAUUUAAUAUGUAUAUAUGUAUGUUGUUUGUUUUGCAGAACGUAUUCGUUGCUGGAACAGACACGAGUGCAGCAACUGUGGUUUGGGCCAUGACUUACCUAAUGAAGAAUCCUAGAGCAAUGAAAAAAGUUCAACAGGAAAUCAGAUCGUUGAUUGGGGGUAACAAAGGCUUUGUAAAUGAAGAUGAUGUUCAAGAACUACAUUAUCUUAAAGCGGUAGUGAAGGAGACAAUGAGAUUGCAACCCACAGUGCCAUUACUAGUCCCAAGAGAAACAAUUGAAAAGUGCGUAAUAGAUGGGUAUGAAAUACCAGCUAAAACACUUGUCUUUGUAAAUGCAUGGGCGAUAGGAAGAGACCCUGAAGCUUGGGAGAAUCCGGAGGAAUUUUAUCCGGAGAGAUUCGUUGAUAGCUUUAUUGACUUUAAAGGGCAACACUUUGAGUUAAUACCGUUUGGUGCUGGCAGAAGAAUUUGUCCUGGGUUGAAUAUGGGAAUCGCAACUGUGGAUCUUGCACUUGCUAAUCUUCUUUACAAAUUUGAUUGGGAAAUGCCGCCUGGAAUGAAGAGCCAAGACUUGGACUUUGAUGUUCUGCCUGGAAUUACUAUGCAUAAGAAGAAUGCUCUCUCUCUUUUGGCCAAGUAUCAUGAGUAGGUAAAUUAAGGCACCUUGGUCAAUAAGAGUUUGAUCUAAACUAAAUGUAUGUUAUAGAGAUUGCAUGUAUGUCCUCAAUUGUGCUUCUCAUGUUUCCUUUCUUUCUUCUUAUGUAUAAUGAAUGUUGAUGUCUAUGUGCCCAUAGGCUGAGUGGUUUUUAAUAAUUAAAUUUCUUUUAGUUCAAAAUUUUGGGAGGUAAGGACUAGAGAAUAAUGGUUACUCUGCUCACUCUCCUAUACUAAUAAAAAAAAAAGUUGAUAUGAAUGUGAAUAUUAAUCUACUACAUUCAUUUCGUCUCAUAUUUUUUCCCCUAUAUUUUUUGCUUUAGAUUUAACUUCUAUCACUUAAACUGCUAUCUUUUUAUAUGAUUGGAUAGAGAUUGAAAUUUUUGCUGUUCCAUCUCAAUGUUAAUGCUAAUUUUAUCUUCACACCUUUACUGUAAUUUUCUACUUUUACUAUUAGAUGCUGAUAGGGUCUUUUCUUGGAGAUUACUUUACCAAAAAAAGUCUGAAAGAAGAUUUUAUAUCGAUCGGAUAGCAAGCUUGUCCAUAUAGUUUAUGGAUUAUCUGCAAGAGCUCUUUUUAGUGCGCAUACGGUUGUCCCUUCAUGUUAGCAUAUUUAUUCUGUCAUCAAUGAACUUUUGCAUUUAAAUGGUAUCAGUUCAAGUGAUGAAUGAAUUUUACCUAUUGCCUAUCUUGGACUAAAUUUAAUUUCAAAAAAUGAGCUUCCAGCUUAUGACUUAUACGUAUCUUGAACUUUGGUUUUACGAUCACCGUUGGAUGGAAGAGUGGCUUGAGUUUGUUAAUUGCUUCAGUCCCAGGACUAGUGUUUGGAAACAUAAAAUUUAACACUCCCCAAAAUAAUUCAAUAUACAACCAACUCCGAUGAUCAACAUCCUCAACCAAAAUUCUAAGUUUUACUCAAGAUAUCUCCAGAGUCUCAAAAGAUAAUAUUAUAACUAAUAUUAAUAUACCUCAGUUUAUUCUUAAUCCCAAAAGAAUAAUAUAACAAAAUUAUACAAUCUAAAAAGAACAAGAUAACUAUGAUAUCCUAAUAAAAAAAAUCAUCUAUAUCUUCUAACACCAUCACGUGGCCAAGAUUCAAAAUAUAUUUACAGUCGCUGGGUCGGUUUGGUGUACCUGCAACCUCCUGGUGGGAGGAGGGAAUAGAAUAAAAGCGGGAUGAGUAUAAAACUCAGUGAGAUCAGUGAGUGGAUAGUAGUUUUCGAAAAAUUAAUUCUUACUUUAAAAGAAAUAAUUAUAUCAUUUCCAAACACGAUUUCAUCAAACCAUAUGCGAGAAACCAAUAAUAAAUCAUUUAACAUUUAAAUCAGAUUACUAAUCAUGAAAAUCAUAUAUAAUAUCAUGCCUAAUAACUAUGGAAAUCAUAUCACAAUAUCAUAUAAAAUACACAAAUCUGAAAAUCAUCACCAAACAAGUACCCAAGGGAAAAAUCUCGUCGUAUCCGGACCUCAACGGACGGGCAAUGACGUACUAUCUAGGUACUACCAUGCCCCAGAGCUACAUGGAUAGACAUGAAAAUACCAUCUCAUAUCUCAUCAUAUCUCAUUAUAUCUGUGCAUGCAUAAUCUAGUCCCCAAAGGAUAAAAUCGCCCAAGCACACGGCCCAAAGCCUCUGUGUGUACUCAGACGAAUUCCAAAGGCAUGUAUCUCAUCUAUAUCAUAUGUAUCUCAAUAUAUGUCUGUAUCUCAUAUUUGUAUCUCUAUAAUCAUCAUACCGCAUGCAUAUGCCCCCAAAAAGCAAAAGCGCCAAAACACACGGCCCAAAAUCUCUAUGUGUGUUUAGAUAGGCCCCAAAUGCCUCUUAUCUCAUCUGUAUCACUGUAUCUGGAGGGAAGGAUAUUGUCCAAUGAUUUUAAAAACAAUCUCUAUACUCAUAUUCAUAUACAUUCUAAUUAUACAUUUCUUUCUUUAUCACAUCUAAAUAUAUUUUUCUCAUCUUUAAAAUACUGUCAUAUUUUAUUCAAUGUUGAUACGAAAAAUCAUUAACCAAACAUUUUAAUAUAAUAUCAAUGCGUGUAUAAAAUCCAUUAUGAGGAAAUCAUUAAAUCAGAACAUUUAAAAUACUAUUUUCGCAAACGUGAUUUACUAUCAUAAUUAAUUAUGAAAAUAUGUUUUGUAUAUUUUACUCACAGCGACAGUGUUCACGCUCGGUUAUCGUCCACGUCUGCGAAUCGGUUCUCGCUCACAGAUCCUCCUAAAUAAAAGAAACGGCAUAAUUAUUUUCUGUAAAUCAGAAUUAAGACUAAAUUUAUGCAAUAAACUCGAAACGAACAUCUAUCCAUAAUUUACAACUCCCGUAUCGAUAGAAUUACUGAAAUACCCUCAAAUAUGUAAAUCGUUAAAAUACUCCAAAAUCGUAAAUUAUCGAAUUACCCUCGGAAUCGUAAUUACACCCAAUCCUCAAUUUCAGAAAUUACUAAAAUAUCCACAAGCUCAAAAAUUACAAAAUUACCCUCAGAGUGUGAAAUUACUGAAAUGUCAUUGUCGGUCAACGGUCACUGGAAUUUAGUCAACGCUGUCCGGGAAGCUCAAGUAUAAAAGUUCCAAUAACGCUGAGUCUAAUAGUGCCGGCGGUGAGGUCCCACAUGCGGCAACGACGCCGUGAAUUUCCAACAAUUGGCCGGCGGCGAAACAGUGACUCCCGGUGACUGUAGAUGGUCAGGAAUUGAAGAGGGAGUUGUGGGGAACAAAAGUGAGGUGGUGGCGUGGUCAAAUUCCAAUAGAAUCAACGGCAAUGGUAUGGGUUUUGGCCGCGGUUUCUCAAGCUUGAAACGGCGACGAUCCCGUCUGCUUUCAGCGACAAUGACGACUGGGUAUGAUGGCCGGUCUUCAAGCUUCAGAUUGGUACCAAGCUUGACCGGUGGGGUGGCCAGAAUCGCAAGAUAUGGCCGGGUCAAUUUCGGGUCAAAACGGUCGGGUUUUUGGGUCGGUUUUGACAGCUUCUCUCUCACUCUCUCACACGUGUGUCUCUGUUUCCCCUGUUUUCCAGCUUCCUCUUUCAUUUAUUUUAACUUUUUAACCGCCUCAUUUUUUUAUUUACUUUUUCACAUAUGUUACAGAAUAACUUAAUCUUUUGCUAUUUUAUUACGUUCAGUUUAUAUACAGCUGAUUCAUUGUAACAAAUGUUAUCAUAAAUAACCACUCGGGCAGUAGCCCGAGUGGCCAGGGCUGCUGCCCUCCAACAAGUUGGAGGGCAGCAGUUCGAACCCCCACAAAAAUAUUGUGGGGGUAUUUCUUUCCUCAAUUAAUUUGAGUGAAGGUAGUCUUCUCUCUUACCCAUGAGUGAGGAGUAGACAUCCCUCGAAUAUUUGUGAGGGUUAAAAUCUGGGCAGAGCUCCAUUAGCAUUGAUGUCAGUUGGUCCCAGUAAUAGUCUGAUUUGUAAAUAUCAGUAAUAGUCUCAUGUAUAUGAGUUGUAAUCUGAGCAAUAGUCUCAUGUAAUCAAAAAAAAAAAAUGUUAUCAUAAAUGAUUCUCGAGUAAUUUCAUUUAUUUACUUUUUCUUCUUUCACAGUUGGCCUGUACGGUAUCAUUUACUUUUAUCUUUUUUCAAAUUUCUUUUAAUCUAGAGAAUGUUUGUUUUAGUCCUGAUCUUGGGUUACUGAAAUGUUUCAUUCCCUUUUCCUAAGUAUUUUUGUUGCUUGUUUAGCGGGCAAUACUGCAACAGUGAUUUCAAUUCACAAAAUUCUGUAAAUACUUAUUAUUCUUAGUGUGGUUUUAAGGUAGAGUGAACUUAAUAUUAUCAUAAUGGCUUACAUCCCUCCACAUAUGAGGCAUACUACGGACCCCCAGAGGCCAUCUCCAGUUCCAGAGAUGAUUGUGCCUAAAUUCAACAGAAAAUUAAACUUGGGAUCAUCCAAGCAUAAUGCAGACAUGAGUGGAAAGAUCGUGUAUGCAGACCCUGCCAUACACAGGUUCUUCAUAUGUGGCUUGGAUAAUGAUAGCAGCACUCCUUCUGUCCGCUUUGUGGAGUUUUCAGACGACCCUGUUGAGCAUAAAAGAUCGACGACCAUUAAUCUGGCUCGAGGUUACUGAUCUGCAUUUGUAAUUUUAUCUUAAAUAUGUUCUACUUUCUUUCUUUAUUUAUAUCCGGUGCUAACUUUAGUUAUAAUGACAUUUGGAUUUUGGGUUGGUAGAUAACGAUAAAUUAUGUGGGAAUACGUCAAGAAGCCCGUGGGAAUCGAUGGCAGAAAAUGUAUGGCCAGAUGUAUUGAGUGCUUGUAACAUUGUCAAGAACGAAAUGGAGGAAAAGCCAACAAUGGUUGCUAGAUUUGGCCAUCAUCUUUUCCGUGAGUAUGUGAUCUGGUUCCAUUGCUGUAACAGCUUGAACUUUUUAUUAGGUCAUUCCUUUUCUUUGGACUUUGAAAUUAAAGCAGCAAAAAUGCAUGUUCAUACUAAAUUCUGACAGAAAUCUUAUGGUCAUAUAAGUGCUGGCAGCUAAAAUUAUGAGCUUUACCAUUAACCCUACCACCAGCUGUGGAUGACUGUAUAUCGGACCUCCAAGCCGGGGACAAAAGUUAAAAUUGCUUUUAAAAGCCAAAGAGGAAAAGAUUUGUAGAAAGAAGGAAAAAGAAAAUGGCAAUUUAUAGUGCAUGCACUUCUUUCAGACUUGUAUCUCAUAGAAGCUUUCAUGGCAUCUAGAAUUUGGCUUUGGCUUUGCGUAGGACAUUUCAAUUGUUGCUGGUGGAAACAAAUAUAUCCAUUGUCUUAGUAUUGCUUGAUUUCCGGUGCAAGAAACAAAUAAAUUUGUUGCCGUGGCCAAGUUUUGUUGUUUGAUAUUUCAUUGGGACAACAAAGUAUACCACUGCUUCGCCUAUUUCUUACAUCUUUGCAUCAUAUAUUUCCAUUCUUCUAUCACAUCUUUGAAGCUUCUACUAGUUCUCAUAUUAGAAGCGCCUCAAAGAAAUAAUUAUUAUAUUAUUCGUCUUAAUGAAGGAGUGACAUACUGAGCUUAGAAAAUGCAAAAGAAGGUCAGGUUGCUGAAUCUGCUUUGAGCCCACUGAGGAGAUGCUUUUACACUGGUGUCCCUCCUACAUACAUGGGAAAAAUUGUAAAUGAAGUUGUGCCAAAAAUUGGGGUUGGUUUUGUAGAGAACAAGGAUAUAUACCAUGUCAAGGUAGUUCUCCUGCAGUCCUGCUAAAUACUUUAGUAGUCAUCACCAAGUUUCUUUUAUCUCUCACUUAAUUAGCCAUUGAUUCCCCCCCUUCUUUUUCUUGUGUAGUUGUCUGAUGGCACACGACAAAUUACGUGCAAAUGUACUGUUAAAGAAGAUCAAAAGCUUCAUCUCUAUAAGGCAAGUCUUUUGCUACUGGCUGAGUAUUAUUUAUGGACAACGGGUCCAAGUUUAUAAGUUGCCUCUUGUGUUAAGGAGACUUUUGCUAGUGGAAACAUUGAAACAAGACUUAUGAUGUUUUGAAUUGAAUGAUAUAAUCUUUUCACUGUGAAUUAUGAAGGAGAUGUCGAAUAUAAGCGAUAGAUAUCAAGAAAGAGACGAAACCUUUGUGUCUCAAAAGAACCUUUUAGAAGUCUCUCCAGGAAUAAUCUCAGUUAAGAGGAAAAGAAUUAAAAUGAAAAGAAGGAAGAAAAUUCUCAAGAAGUAAGACUAAUUCUACAUCUAAUUGAGGAACAGGCUUGUUAAUUUAACAAGGAAAGCUCCAGUAGCUAUUUAUUAUAAACCAAUUAAAAAUUGAAUUAAAUUAAUAGUUAACUUGUAAUUGAAUGUCUAAUCCAACAAACUAUGCAUAAGAUUACAGAUGUAACUAUGUAAUACAAAAAACCUCUGCUUAUCGUAGACCAAAGUGAAUAUGCCAAUAUUUAGGAAUUUCUUUCAGCAUCAUGGGAUUUAGAUCCCUAUAAUUUUUUUUAUUUUAGUGUAGUGACAUCCGGAAGACCAGAAUUAUCACGUACCUCGUAGUAGUCAUUUUAUGUCUUUUAAAGCGCCACAUUAUUUCCCAUACAGUCAUAAUAUAUCUAUUUGUUGUUUAUUUAUUGUUGUCGUGUGUGGAGUCUCAUCUUGAAUAUGAACAUUUUUCCGGAAGGUCGAGCUGAACUCUGUUCGUCACAUGGUAGCAGACAUGUUAUGCGUUCAUAAAAAUCUAGACCUGAGGUUGGCACUAUGUUCAAAGAGUACCUUAUCUGCUCUCUCGGUAAGUCAAUCUGCUACUCUGUGCAUGUUUAGCUGGACUUUUAAGUUACGCCUUCUUUUUUCCCCUUUUUAUUUUUUUUUGGUCAUUUGCUUGUUGGAAUCAUCAUCAUUACAGAAUGAGGAAGAAAAAUUCAAGACCAGGGGAAAUAAGGAAAUAUUAAACUUAUAGCUUUUGUUUUAUCAUAGAAAGUUUACUUUCAAGGGGUUGAGAAAAAAAAAAAAUUAUAUAUAUAUAUAUAUAUAUAUAUAUAUAUACACAUACAUAUAUAUAUAUAGGGAUGGCAAAAUCCGGGUCUGGGUCCGGGUUUAGCCUUCCCGGUUCCGGACCCGGACGCCAUUUUCUUUCUCUCGGUCCCGGAUUAAAACCCGGUUUUUUCACUUCGGGUCCGGUACGGGUUCAACCCGAAAAAAUCCGGGUUUUGAACCCGGAUCAAUGAAUUAAUUUCUAUAAUUCCAAAAAUAAAAUCUUCAUAUGAAGAUGGCGAUUUUUCACUGGAACCAGAGAAAAUAUUUAUGGCACCUGGAGGGAGUUCCCUCUGUUUUGCAGAUCAUUUAUACAGAACAAAAUGAUUAAAUACCCAAAAAGGAGGAUCACAUGUCUGCAGAUUUGGCCCGCGGAAAAGAUUCAACACAAUCUCCAAAACCAUUUUAGAAUCCGCGAUGGUGAAGAUGCGUUGUCACAACUCAAACAACGACAGCCGAUGAUGAUGAAUACAGGAGCUACAAGGUUGCGACGGUGGUGAACCCAAGAGAACGAGUUGCGACGGUGGCGAACCAAGCUUGCGACGGUGGUGAACCCAAGAGAACGAGUUGCGACAGUGGCGAACCAAGCUUGCGACGGUGGUGAACCCAAGAGAACGAGUGGCGACGGCGGCAAACCAAGCUUGCGACGGUAGCAGCUUGGAUCGUAUGGUUGUUUGGUUGCAGCAAGCGGCAGCUUCAAUGUGUGAAUGUGAGUAUGUAAAUUAGGGUUUUUGUUAUGUUUGUAUUUAUAUUAAAUAAUAAAUAUAAUUAAAAAAUAAUAUUAAAAUAAGAUAUCCGGGUCCGGGUUCCGGAUAUACGGGUUACUCUAAACUCGGAAUCGGACCCGGAUCUAUCCGGGUCGUUAAAAUUCAUUCCGGAUCCGGAUUUUUUUACACUCCGGUACGGGUUCAACCCGGUCCGGAUUAUCCGGAUUCGUCCGGGUCCGAUCCGGGUCCGGGUUAUUCUGCCAUCCCUAUAUAUAUACAUACACACACGACAACAAUACAUAUAUAUACAAAAUUGUGAUAUCGUGCCACAGUUGCACUCAACCGUUGGAUUUCUAUGGACCCCACCUAUCUAAAUGGAUCCAACGGCUGGAUGCAACUGUGGCACGGUACCAUAGUUGCACCGUAGCCAGACCCUGCAAAAGUAUAUUGAAGUUUUUUUCUGGCCUUUUAUGUAAUCACACCCGCCAGUAAUGAGAUAAUUUACAAAAAGGUCCUUGAUGUUUUGGUUAAAUUUAAUUAAAUUAGUAAAUUCAUCCAAAACGGCAUCGUUUUGAAUGUGUUUUUAUUAAGAUUUAUCCAGCAUUUCGUACAUAUAUCAGUGCUUUUUUUUUUUUGUUUAAUUUUUAUAAAGUGUUGGUUAGAAGGCAAACAUCUUACAUUAAAAUGGAGUCUUCUUGCGGCGGCCAAAGGAGAUAUAUAUAUAUAUAUAGGCACACACACAUACACUAGAGUUUUGUUUAAGUUAUAUUUCACAUGGAUUAAGUUGUAGAUGACAGAUCUCUAAAAGCAUCUUGUAAAAUUGUACAUUAAAAAAUAAUAGUUCUAGUAGUGUUAAAGGCAGCUGCUGAAAACAGUUUCUACUUAUGCUGCGUUUACUAAACUGGAAUCGGAAUGAGUUGGAAUCAGAAUGGACGGGAAUCGAAAUGAGCUGGAAUGAGAAUCAAAAUAAGUUGUUUACUUGAACUGUAGGAAUCGAAAUCGGAAUGAGCUGGGUUGCCAUUAAUGUGUUUACUUUGUCUUGAAUCGGAAUCAGAAUGAGUUAGAUUGUAACAAAUUACUAAAAAAUACUUAAUGAAUUAUUGUCAUAAUUAUUAUUAUUAACUAAUUUUAAAUUUUUUAUCAAAUUAUUAUAAUUAUAUUAACAAUUAUUAUAAAAAUAUAUUAACAAAUAAUAUUAAUAUUCAAAAAUUAUAAUUAUUAAUAAUUAUUGUUAAAAAUAUAUUAAUAUAUUAAUUAGUACUAAUAAUUAUAUUAUUUAAUUAAUUAUAAUAACUAUAUUAAUAAUUAUUAUAAUAACAUGUUAAUUAAUUAUUUACAAUAAUAAUAUAUUAAUUAUUGUGAUUAUUUACUCAAGAACAAUAAUUAUUAAUAUAUUAUUGUUAAUAAUAUAUUAUUAUAUUAUUUAAUAGUGAUAAUUAUAUUAAUUAAUAAUAAUAUAUGAAUUAAUUCUAAUAAUUAUAAUAGUAAUUAUUAUAAUAAUAUAUUAAUUAAUUACAAUAAUAAUAUAUUAACUAUUGUGAUUAUUUAUUCAGAAAUUAUAAUUAUUAAUAAUUAUUGUUAAUAAUAUAUUAAUAUAUUAAUUAGUAGUAAUAAAUAUAUAAUUUAAUUAAUAAUAAUAUAUGAAUUAAUUAUAUUAAUAAUUAUUAUAACAGUAUAUUAAUUAAUUAUAAUAAAAAUAACAAUAAAUUAAUUAUUGUGAUUAUUUAUUCAAAAAUUAUAAUUAUUAAUAAUUAUUGUUAAUACUAUGUUAAUAUAUUAAUUAACAGUAAUAAUUAUAUUAAUUAAUAAUAAUAAUAUAUGAAUUAAUUAUAGUAAUAAUAUUGAUAAUUACUAUAAUAGCAUAUUAAUUAAUCAACUAAAAUAAUAAUAUAUUAAUUAUUGUGAUUAUUUAUUCAAGAACUAUAAUUAUAGUUAAUAAUAUAUUAAUUAAUCAUAAUAUUUAUUUAAUUAAUUAUAAUAAUAUAUUAAUUAAUUAUAACUGAGGACAAAGUGGGUAUUUUUAGUUUUGGGGGAUGGCAAAAUGGGAAUUCUUGGGAUGGGAGAUUGAUUCCCACCUCCCCCAUGGGAAUCAAUCUCCCAUUCCCCAUUCCCAAAUAGUUGUGGGCCCCACCAUUUUGAUUUCCAUUCCUGCUUCAUUUUUGCGAAGUAAACGCGUCAAUCAUUCCGAUUCCAGAUUUCGAUUCCCCAAUUCGGGAAGUAAACGCACCAUUAGUUUCUAGUAUAUCCAUAUAUAUUUACCUAAAAAAGAAGGAGGUAAACGUCUUUUGUUUUUUUUUUUUUUUUAAAAGAGAGAGAGCGAGAGAGAGAACAUUUUCUACUGUGUUCACUGACACACCCCGCCCCGACUUAUAUGUUGGAUCCGAGGCGAAUCAUGCGGUCUAGUAACUAAAACUCGUGGCACUAACUUAAUUCAUGUAUAUAUAUUAAUAGUUUUCUGGUUAGGGAAUUGUAAGCUUUUAAAGCCGUGCAGUUUUAAAGUUUUCCCAGACUUUCCCGCACUUUAAAAUUCCAGACUGGAACAUUUAUAUAUAUAUAUAUAUGACCUUUACUAUAAACACAUAACAACCUUUGUGUCUCCUCCGAAAAUAUAUAUGUAUUCAAAACUUGCACAGUUCAUGUCUCAUUAUACAUACUUACAUUACAAGUAUAUAUACAAAAAAAACAUAAACAACAUAAAUGUGCUCAAAAUGCAAGACAUGCAACAAUGCGUCUCGUGGGCCCACCCCAAUUGACUGGAACUGAUCUGCACGAAAUCCUGCGGAAUCCUGGGAAAAAAAAUAGAUAAAUAAGAAAAUAAUGAGCUUGCGGCUCAGUGAGUGGAUAUAAUUUAUAUAUAGAAAAAUAUAGUAGCGUACUAGGAUAUAUACAUAAUUAUGUGACAUAAUUCCGCACUGAAUGUAAUGCAUCAACAAACAUGAAAAUCAUACACACAUGACAAAAUUGUACCAAAUAGUACCCAGGGGAAAUAACUCUCAAUACUUGCUGGGAUCAUCGUCGCACGAGAAGAGCGGGAAAACUCUCAAUACCCAGCGGAAUUUAACUAAAUCGCACGAGUAGAGUAGCCUAACUCUCAAUAUGCAUGCGUAGAGCCUAUGGAGAAGGGUACAUAUAUGGUGACUGACAAUCACAUCUCAUGACUCAAUCAAACAUAUAAUAUGCAAAUAUAUAAUCAUGAUAUUAAAUCAUAUUAUCAAAUAUAAAUGCUUCACGAAAUUCAUAUUAGUAAUAAUAGUAUCCACUCACAAAUCAUGUUUCACUUCGGGGUGUUUGUUGGGGCUCCUAUGGGUUCUUGAAUUCUUGAGUUCCUCCUAAAAUAUAAGAUUAAAAAAUUAACUAUUAAAACUGAUAUAAAAAUUGAUACGUAUCACAAAAACUGUAAUAUAACUGUUCAAACUUCAUAUAUCUAUUACCCAUUAAUUCAUUGGAUAUUAAUGUAAGUGUUUAAUUUCAUUUCCUAUAACAUUCCCUCUCAAUUUAUCUUUUAAAUUUCUUUUCCCACUCUUGGCUUCUUCCUUUCUUUUAUUUUUUUUCUUUCCUCUUCUCUUUUGCUCUCAGUUUUUCUUCUUUUUCUUCUCUGUCUCACUUCAAAAAAUGAUGCAAAAUGAGAGCUGGUUUCAAUUCCUUCAAAUUCAUAUAUGUCCACCGACUCAAGCACACAAGUAGAGCAUACGGGUGAAGCAUGCACGUGCCUUGCAUGAAGCUGGUAGCUUGCUGCUGCUUUGAUAAUUAGCCACGUUUGGCUUAUAAAGAAGCGGUGAAGCAUGCACGGUGCAUUACAUUCAUGCUAUCUACGGAAUGAUAAAAACUAAACUUCAAGUACAGCGGAGUAAAACCUGUGCACACAGCUUAACAUUUUAUGUGGCAACUCUGGAAGAAAUCUCACAAUGAAAAUAAAAAUUACAGGCGAAUGUUGCAAGUAUAUUUCAUUCAUAUGUCAAUUUUUGAAAACCUUGCUCUGUAAGUAAACCAACCAAUCUAUUUGUGACAAAUGGGAACAAGACAGUAACCUCCUUAUUUGAUGAUAUGCAGCAUUUGCAGAAGCUGAAACAGUAAACAUGGGAAUGAAAGGAUUAGAAUCAUUUGAUAUAUUUUUUUUUAACUAGAAUUACUUCCACCGUAACUGAUAUAAUUAAAUAAGAGAGAAUUUACAAACUAAUUUUUUAAAUUCUCUCAAAUAAGUAAGCAUAUUAAUUAAAAAAAUUAAAUUAAAAGUAUUUCAUUUAAUUAUUUUUUUAUUGAAAACUAAUAAUUAAUACAUAUGCAUUCUCUACAGGUUUAAUCAGGUUUUGUUGUUGUACACAUUAGUAUAAUAAGUUUAAAUGAAGUUUAAACUUUGAUAAUUUAAAUUAAAAUUCUCACAAUUAUUUGAAGAUUGUGGUUCGGUGAAAUGAAGUUUAUCCAGUAUAACAUACCAAAAAGGGGGCGGCUAAGGAGGCAGCCAGGAGGCAACCGAGAGUUAGCAAAAGAGGCAAGAAAAAGGCAACAAGCCAACAAUGAAGUCAAAAGCUCAAGAAGGGAAGCGGUGAAGCAAAUCCGACAAACGCAAGCAAGAGUUAAGCUGGCUGUUUCGCAUGACACAUGUGAAGCUUCAUCACAAGCUGGCUGUUUCGCAUGACACAUGUGAAGCUUCAUCACAAGCUGGCUGUUUCGCAUGACACGUCUAUGCUAUUUUUCUUCUGGAUUUAAUCUAUCAUUGUCGACGACGACGAUUUGCUAACCUCACAAGUGAUAAGGACUCUACAAGAGUACAAAACAGAGACUCGUAAUAUUACUGAAUAUAGCAUUUCUGUUUCCUUAUUAAUGGAGAAAGGCAGUUAUGUUUUUGCAGCGGUCAAGGGCAUUGAAGAUAUUAUGGCUUUACUUAUCAUCGUUAGCUUCCUUCUGUGUCUCCCAUUCUUCCUCUUCUUCUUUGUUUUGCAAAGGCACAAAACCUCGAAAAAUAAUACUAAAUUACCACCAGGCCCCCGGGGCCUUCCCUUCAUCGGUAACUUACAUCAGUUUGAUGUCUCAAAGCCUCAUGUGUCAUUUUGGGAACUAUCGAAAAAAUAUGGCCCCCUCAUGUCCUUGCGUCUUGGUUUUGUGCCGUCCUUAGUAGUUUCCUCAGCAAAAAUGGCUAAAGAGAUAUUGAAAACCCAUGACCUUCAAUUUUGUAGCAGGCCAGCCUUGGUAGGGCAACAAAAGUUAUCUUACAAUGGUCUUGAUUUGGCUUUUUCACCCUAUGAUGAAUAUUGGAGAGAGAUUAGAAAAAUUUGUGUCAUUCAUCUCUUAAACUCUAAUAAGGUACAAAAUUUUCGACCCAUUAGAGAAGAUGAAGUUUCAAGAAUGAUUGAAAAGAUUUCAAAAUCAGUUGCUGCUUCUAAGCUCGUAAACUUAAGUGAGGUAAUGAUGUCUCUUACUAGCACUAUUAUUUGUAGAAUUGGUUUUGGCAAGAGGUACGAUGAAGAUGAAGCAACAAGUGCAAGAAGUAGAUUCCAAGCCUUGCUUAAUGAAACUCAAGCCUUGUUUGUAAGCUUUUUUGUUACAGAUUAUUUUCCUUUCAUGGGCUGGAUUGAUAAGUUCACAGGAAAGAUGCAACGUCUGCAAAAUAACUUCCAAGAACUUGAUAGAUUCUACCAGGAACUCAUCGACGAGCAUUUGGAUCCAAACAGAACAAAAUCAAAAUUGCCGCAACAGGAGGAUAUAAUUGAUGUUUUACUUCAAAUAAGAAAAGAUCGUGGAUUUAAAGUUGACCUGACUUUGGAUAACAUCAAAGCAGUGCUCAUGGUGGAUAAUUUUAUAAAUAGUUAUAUGUAGACUCGUGCUUAGGCGCAGACUCAAAAUUUUGUGCAGAUGCCCAAUUUUACAGUGUUGUAAAACGUUUUAUAAUGCUGUAAAGUGCUCUUUGACGUCUCCGCCUGAGCAUGAUUAAUUUAAUAUAAUUUUAUUCGCUUUAACUAAUUUAAUAUGUAUAUUGUUUGCUUUGCAGAACGUAUUCGUUGCUGGAACAGACACAAGUGCAGCAACUGUGGUUUGGGCCAUGACCUAUCUAACGAAGAAUCCUAGAGCAAUGAAAAAAGUUCAACUGGAAAUUAGAUCGUUGAUUGGGGGCAACAAAGGCUUUGUAAAUGAAGAUGAUGUUCAAGAACUACAUUAUCUUAAAGCCGUAGUGAAGGAGACAAUGAGAUUGCAACCUACAGUGCCGUUACUACUUCCAAGAGAAGCAAUUCAAAAGUGCAUAGUAGAAGGGUAUGAAAUACCAGCUAAAACACGUGUUUUUGUAAAUGCAUGGGCGAUAGGGAGAGAUCCUGAAGCUUGGCAGAAUCCUGAGGAAUUUUAUCCGGAGAGAUUUGUUGAUAGUUGUAUUGACUUUAAAGGGCAAAACUUUGAGUUAAUACCGUUUGGUGCUGGCAGAAGAAUUUGUCCUGGGUUGAAUAUGGGAAUUGUAACUGUGGAGCUUGCACUUGCUAAUCUUCUUUACAAAUUUGAUUGGGAAAUGCCGCCUGGAUUGAAGAGCCAUGACUUUGAUGUUCUGCCCGGACUUGCCAUGCAUAAGAAGAACGUUCUUUCUCUUCGGGCUAAGUAUCAUGUUGAGUAGGUAAAUUAAGGCACCUCCAUCAAUAAGAAGGUAAAUUAAGGCACCUCCAUUAAUAAGGGUUUGAUCUAGCUAAAGGAAAUAUAUGUUAUGCGUCCUCAAUUGUGCUUCUCAAUGUUUUCUUUCUUUCUUCUUAUGUAUAAUGGAUGUUUACGCGAAUGGUUUUUAGUAAGUAAUUUUCUUUUAGUUCAAAAUUUUGGGAGGUAAGGGCUAGAAGAUAAUAGGGACUCUGCCCACUCUCUUAUACCUUUAAAAAAAUGAUAUGAAUGUGAGUAUCAAUUUAUCACAUUUAUUUUGUCUUACAUUUUUCUCUCUCCAAUUUCAAAUUAUAAAUGUAUAUAUAAAUACACGAAACGACCAAUCAAUAUUAUUUACUUGAUAUAACUAAUAAGUAAAUUCAUGGCUUUUUCUAUCACCCCUUUUUUUGUUAGGAGUAUCAGUAAAAUCAGCUCUGUAAUGCUCUACAUCUUUACCGUGAAAGCUGCAUUUUUAUGGAAUCAGCUUACAGUUAUGUACUAACCAAAAAAAAAGAAAAAGAAUAUUACAUCAAUUCUUCAUUGAGAUUUGAGACAUUUUCUUCCUCCAGAAAGUAUACAAGUUAAAAAAACUACACAUCAUUGUGAUUUCAUAACAGCAUCAUCCAUCACUUUCCUAUGAGCUUUUUAUGAGGCCGGAGGCUAAAGCACAAUCAGUUGAGCUGUUAUUGCAUUUCCCACAGCAAGACUGUGGCAAAUCAGUUGACUUUUGACGUUAAAUGGUGGUUUCGGCUUGCAGUCACUUGUGUUUGUUCAAUUUCAAUAAAGGAAAUUUCAUUUUUGUUAAAAUCCAUGAAUAUUAAUUACUACCUUGUUCGCUGUUCAGUAAAACUAAAACAACACCAAAACUUAAAUAUUUUCGCUAUAUCACAAACUUAAAUAUUUUUUUUUUCCCCCUAUACAUCCCUAGUAAGGUUGACAGAAAAAAACCAAAUUUCAAUCGGUAUUGGGAUCCCCUCCCGAAUGAUAGGGGAUUUGGCACUAAUUUUUAAAAUCGAUUCGAUACUAAUUUUAACAAACACUUGCUUUAAACCAACUUAUUCUUCUACCACAUAAUUUACUUAACUUUCAUUACAUGAAAAAUAGUCAUUUUUUUUACCUAACUUGUUCGACAAUAGUUAAAUAUGUUGGUGAGAGGGCAGUUUUCAAUUGUAAAAAUCAAGACAUCGAGAAAAACUAAAAUGGCUAUUUGGUUUUUCUAAUGAAAAACUAAAACAACUAUAUGGUUUAGCGUGAAAUUUUAGCUUCAUUGGUAUUUAUGACGAUUGUAACUAACCAUUAAAAAUGCAUAAUUAUUUUCUACCUGUAGUGAUUUAGGUGCUGUAGAAUUCGAUUAGCAACCUAAGCACUGCCCAAGAUCACAAACCAGAUCCACUAGAUGCUAAGAACCCAAACAAUCAAGCUUUAAGUUUCAACAAAACCUUUAACGAAAAUGGCUUAAUCAGAACACACUCAGAACAAGAAUUAGAAACCAAUCACACCCAAAAGAAAGAGAAAUAUUUACGUGGUUCGAUUGUGCAAAGAAGCACAAUCUACAUCCACGGGAGAAGCCCACAGAGCAAGCUUUAUUGAUGAUUCAAGUAAUCUUUACAGAGCAAUACAAGAGCUAACUACUAGGAUCAAGACGAAGCUUUCUCUCUAUCUUAACUCUCUCUAUCACGCUCUCAGAUCAUCCAUGAAACUGCUUCUUUAACCAGCUUAUAUAGCAGCUGAUAAAGAACCCAGAAGUUGCAGAUUUCCGCCACCUGGACUAACAGCUUCUAACUGAUUUGAUUCUCCACCCCCCGUGCACUUCACAUGUUUCACUUAAGCCUUUUGCCGAAACGUCUCCAGCUCCUGCCGUUUUGAACUUAAGUGAAUCACAUGCCAUGCUCGUGACUCCUGAGUAUAUUAAACAUAUUCCAAACGUUGUCGUUUAACAUGCUCAAGUUUUGGAUUCAACAUUUUAGUCCACACUACCGUUUCAAAAACAUAGUCGAAAAUAAAAUAAUAUUUUCAAUUAUUGUAAUUUUUAAUCAAAAAUAGGAAAAUAUUUUUAAACGUAACUAGGAGUUGGUUGAAAAAACCAUUAAAAAGAUAUAAAAUUUUAACAGACAACAUGGGCACCAAUAAUGUUUUUCACUACUAUAACUUGCAAGGUUGGUCAAAGCAAAAGCUGUAAGGGUAAGUAAAUAUAAUAUAAAAUUAUAUAUCAUCUAAAAGAAAAGUAAUUGUACGUUUUUUUUUCUUAGUUUACUAUUUUUUUUAUCAAACAUGAACUAGAUAAUUAAAUAAUUAAUUAAUUAAUGUAUUUUUUUUAUAGAAUUAAUUAAUGUACUUAAUUGAAAAUAAAAUUAACUUCUACGAUGCAAACAGAAUUUGAGCCCUCAACUGAAAAGAUAAAAUAUGAAAGUGCCUACCACUGGAGCAAGAAAUAAUUUUCAGUAAAUUAUAAAUUAAAUAAUUAUGAAAGGAUUGAUUUUUUCUAAAGGUUUUACUAGGUGCAACAAUGGAAUUGAAUUACCUUAUUUAACUUAGAAGAUAUUGAUUGAUUACAGCAUAGAUAUAAUGUAUGAUAUCUUAAAUUAAACAUCAAUUAACUUCGAAAUUAUAUUGUAGUUCAAAUAAACUCGAUAAUAUUUAUGAUCACAUUCUAUCUUAUACACAAACUUGAAACUUAUGUUAUUGAUUAAGUCUCAACUAUUUUAAUCAUUAUCAUUGAAUCAAUUUAGAAAUUGAUUAUCGAACUAGCUGGUAUUUUAUAGUUAAGUAUUUAAAGAAAUAAUGUCUAUGAUUGAUCAUAAUUAUUGUUGAAUCAAUUUGGAGACUAGCUAAUUUUCAAAUUAAUGUAAUUAUCUAGUGGUCAAUUUCAAUAAAUAGAGUCUAAUAGUUUUCAUAGUUGUAUUAUACUCAUAAUUGUGGAACAUGGAACGUAUACUUCAUACUUAAAACUUAUUGCAUAUAUUAAAAAAAAUAGAUGAUUAGUAAUUAACAUUUAAUUAUAGUUGAAAUAUUAAUUAUUAAAUUAGUCUAAUUGUCUAAGAACAGUCAUACAAUUAAUUUCAAUAGAUAACAAGAACUAUUGCAAUAAUUUUUUUAUAUUUUAAAACAUAUCUCAACUAUGAAUUAUUAAAACUAAUAUAGCUUCAUAGUUUUUAGGCCAAUAUCUAUUUUCAUCUUUUGUUUAUCUUAUUAAUUUAAAUUUAAAAUCUAUGUUAAAUAAUAAAGAUGUUCUAUCAAUCAAUUUAGGCUAUAGAUUAAUUAAACAAUCUAGUAAUCACAUAAUAGGUAUUACAUAUAAUUGUUCAAUUAUAAUAAACUUUAAAUUUGCAUUAAUGAGAUAAGAAGUUUUGUUUUGCAAUUAAUCGAAUCGUAUGCUAAUAAUUUUCAAUAUUUAUUAUUAUUUCAAUAUUUAUUAGUAUGAAAUAACUAACUUAGGAUAAAUAAAUUGAUUGAUUGAUUUUUUCUUAAAUUUUAAUAUCUUGUAUUAUCUCUAUUAACUAUUUGGUCCACUGCCACCUAACUAAAGUUUUUAGUGCAAGUGUAUGUGUACCUAUUCUCCACUCUCUCUAACAAAUAUCUCAAUUAGCCACCGAAUCAAAUCUAAUAAUAGAAUAAAUAAAUAAAAGCCACCGAUAUUAAGCGCAACGGAUGAAUUCAUCUCCUCUUCUUUUGUAUAUUCUCUCCAAAGCUUUCAACUCUAUUUUGGGGUCAUUUUCUUAAUUUUUUUUAAUUAAACUAUAUAGAAACUGGGGAGAUGUUUUCAGAUAUUUAUUAAUUUUUAUCCUUCACCUUUAAUUUCUUAAGUUUGACAUCAGUUAUUGUUGGCCUCACUCUCACAUGGUUGGUUUGAAGCUUUUCUAUCAUGUAGUUCGGUGAAAAUUAUUUGAUUAAUCGUGACUUGCAGGUAAGAAUUAUAUUAUUAUUUUGUGUUAUGUUUUUAAUUUAUUAGAUUUUAAUUCACAAUUUAUUUGAUAACAAGUGAAAGAGAUGUUAAUUAGGAUAGAUUCAUUUUCUUGUUUAGUAUAUAGGAUUUUCUACUUUAAUUUAAUUGUAUCUUAAUAUUUUUUUUAUUGUUAUCAAGGGAAUUAAGAGCCUAGGAAGAAAAAAUUAUGAUAUUCAACUUUCAUAAGGAUUCAGUUGCUCAAUCCACAUUGAUUCUAUCUUUUAUCAACAGCAAAAUAUCAUUGCAAGAGUGCCAUGUAGCCUUUGGUGUAUUUUAUUUUAUUUAAAUAUUUGUCAUGGAUUCAAUGAUUAAUACGUAUUUAUUUUAUCUUUUAGUAGCAUUAAGUUAUUGUAAUAGCAUCAUGUAGCUUUAAGUCAUUGUAAUGGUGUCUUGUAGCACUUGUACUUUGUUUGAGUUGCACAUGUAUUUGUUGAAAUUAUUUAUAAAAGGAUAUUUGUCGAUUGAUUCAUUGAUUUUUUUCUCCUGAGGCAAUUAAUAAAACCAUUUUCAGCCAUAUAUAUUUGUCUACUAAUUCAUCAUUUUUUUUCCUAGAGGCGAUUAAUAAAAUGAUUAUUUUAACGAUGAAGUAGAAUCAAAUGAAUUUCAAUAAUCAUCUUCUUGGAAAUACUAAGAUUCAAUUAGAACUAAUAUUUAUUCGACUAUAAUUUAUUUUUUCCAACUGUUUUUACCCCUAAAAAAUAGUGUAUUUUUAAUGGUAAUUAGUUAGUUGAAAUUGAUAUUGCAAAUACAACUGCUAUCGAAAAUACUCUUUUUUACUACUUAAGGUGGUCAUAAAUAUCAGUCAUUAGUCACAUGUCCAUAUUAAUUUUCAAUCUAUAUUUAUGUAUUUAUGAUUGUCAAUUUCGCACCAAAUAAGCAUAUUUACGGCGGCCAAUCGGUAAAAGUGUGUUUCUAACCUGGGUAUUAGCGAUUACCAGCGACUGAUUAAGGCCAUUGGAAAAACAUAUUUUCAACAGUAUAGCACUUGUUUCAACUGCAUUCAGCAGUUAUAAAAAGUUAUUUUUCUUGUAGUAUAUUUAUACCGCACAUUUUGACUACCACUAAUUUAAGUUGCCUGAUGAACAUAUUUACCACACAUAAAAACUAAAAUAUCUGAGAUAUUUCUUUAGAUAUUUCUAUAGAUAUUUUAACAUUUUAGAUUACAAUAUUUUUCAACACUUGAUUUAAUCACCAAUCGUUGACUAUGAUGACGACAAAAAAUCUAUUUCAUUGUGCUAACCUCACAAGUGAAAAGGACUCCACAAGAGUACAAAACAGAGCCUUGAUCUAAUAAUAUUACCGAAUAUAGCAUUUUGUUUCCUUAUAAAUGGAGAGAGGUUCUGUCUUUGCACUGCAUAACAGAUAUUAAUGGCUUUACUUAUCGUCAUCAACUUCCUUAUGUGUCUCUCAAUCUUCGUCAUCUUCUUUGUUUUGACAUCAAUUUUGUUGGCCUCACCCUUGGCUGAAAGCUUUUUCUGUCAUGUAGAACGGUGAAAAUUAUUUGAUUAAUUGUGGCUCGUAGGUAAGAAUAAUUAUUGUUUUUUGUGUUCAUGUUUUUAAUUUAUUGGAUUUUAAUUCACAAUUUAUUUUAUAACAACUGAAAGAGAUUUUAUUUAGGAUAGAUUCAUUUUCUUGUUUAGUAUAUAGGAAUUUCUACUUUAAUUUAAUUGUAUCGUAAUUUUUUUUUUAUAUAUAUUGUUAUGCGGUGAAUCAAGAGACCUAGGAAGAAAAAAUUAUGGUAUUCAACUUUCAUAAGGAUUCAAUUGCUCAGUCCAUAUUAAUUCUAUCUUUUAUCAACACCAAAAUAUCAUUGCAAGAGUGCCGUGUAGCUUUUGGUGUAUUAUUUUUUAUUUAAGUAUUUGUCAAAGAUUCAAUGACUAAUACAUAUUUAUUUUAUCUUUUAGCAAUAUUAAGUCAUUGUAGUAGUAUUGUGCAAUAGGGAUGACAAAACCCCGGGCCGGGUCCGGGUAUUGCAAUGACCGGACCCUACCCGGAUGCAACCGGUCCGGGUCCAGGUCUGGGCCGGGUUUUAAUCCGAGUACCCGAAUUUUAUAUUUUUUAAUAUUAUAUGUGUAUAUAUUUUUUAUUUUUUGGUAAUUUUAUAAGUUUUAAAUUUAUUUCAAUAAAAUUUGACAUGAAAAUAUAAACUUUAAGUGUUUAAAACUUUAUAUAUGUAUAAUAAAUUAGUCAAAUAAAUAUAAAUAUUUAAAAUAAUAUAUAUUUUAUAAUAUUUUUGUAAUAAAAUCCGGGUUCUGGGUUUAUCAAGUGAUGUCCAAGACCGACCCGGCUUCAUACCCGGCCCAUAACGCCCGGGUACGGUUCGGGUCCAGACCGGGCGGGUAUUUUUGCCACCUCUAUCUUACAUCUUUAAGUCAUUGUAGUAGUGUGGUGUAGGAUUUGUAUUUUGUUUAAGUUGCACAUGUAUUUGUUGAAAUUAUUUAUAAAAGAAUAUUAUUCCACUAAUCCAUUGAUUUUUCUUUUUUCUAUGGGGCAAUUAAUAAAAUCAAUUUGGGCCAUAUAUUUGUCAAUUAAUUCAUUGAUCAUUUUCCUAGGGGUCCAGCUACCUUGCGUCAUGGGUUUGGUACCGCAGUUGUUUGUCUCUUAGCGAAUGACCCUUUAGAUUGUACUGAAUGCAUUCUGCACUAUGGUCCAAUAAUUCUCUUUCAAAUACACUUAGGUCCCCAAAUCAAUAGCUCAAUUCUUCACAUUCAAUUUAAAGCUUUUUUUAACUUCAUUAUCAUUUAUUUAUCAAACAUCACAUACCUGAUGCAGAUCCACCAGGUGUUGAGUUUCUACCAGCAUUCACUCUUGAGCUUGAUGUUGUUUCCAAGUUCUUGCAACGCUUCUGCUUGGCACAGAGAAGUAAAUUUUGUAAGUAAGUACACUCAAUCAAAUACUUCAUACUUAACAUUGAUUGCAUAUAUUAAAAAAAAUGUUAGAUGAUUAGUAAUUAACAUUUAAUUAUAGUUGAAAUAUUGUUUAUUAAAUUAGUCUAAUUGUCUAAGAACGGUCAUACAAUUAAUUUCAACAUAUAAAAAAACUAUUGCAAUAAUUUAUUUAUAUUUUGAAACAUAGCUCAACUAUGAAUUAUUAAAACUAAUAUAGCUUCACAGUUUUUGCAUCAAUAUCUCUUUUCAUCUUUCGCUUAUCUUAUCAAUUUAAAUUUAAAAUCUAUGUUAAAGAUGUUCUGUCAAUCAAUUUAGGCUAGAGAUUAAUUAAACAAUCUAGUAAGCACAUAAUAGGUAUUAUUAUUAAUUGUUCAAUUAUAAUAAACUUUCAAAUUGCAUUAAUGUGAUAAGAAGUUAUAUUUUGCAAUUAAUCGAAUCAUAUGCUAAUAAUUUGCAAUAUUUAUCAGUAUGAAAUAACUAACUUAGAAUAAAUUAAUUAAUUGAUUGAUUUUUUCUUAAAUUUGAAUAUCUUGUAUUAUCUCUAGUAACUGUUUGGUCCACUUAAUUACUAAAAUCCCACCUAACUAAAGUUUUUUGUGCAAAUGUAUAUUUACCGUAACCCACGUUCUCCAUGCUCUCUAACAAAUCUCUCAAUUAGCCACCGAAUCAUAUCCAUUAAUAGAAUAAAAAUAAAAGCCACCGAUAUUAAGCACAAUGGAUGAAUUCAUCUCUACUUCUUUUGUAUAUUCUCUCUAAAGCUUCAAACUCUAUUUUAGGGUUAUUUUCUUAAUUCUUUUGAAUCAAGCUAUAUAGAAUCUGGGGAGAUGUUUUCAAAUAUUUAUUGAAACGACCCGCCCCGAAUCAACCCAGACGAGUUUAUCUAGUCUCAUCAAAACGGACUUGAUAAUAAUUUUAUUCGUAAAGAUUCUGCCGAAAAUUCGGCAGAGUCUCCUUUAUAUAUAUAACACUCCCAAUCUACAAAUAUGAAUAUAACACUCUCAAUACAAGUCAAUAUACAACAAACUCUAGUGCUCAACAUCCUCAACCAAAAUGCUGAGUUUUAUAUCUCCAGAGUCUCAAAAGAUAAUAUUAUAACUAAUAUUAAUAUCUCAAUUUAUUCUUAAUCCCAAAAAGAAUAAUAUAACAAAAGUAUACAAUCCCAAAAGAACAAGAUGACCAAGAUAUCCUAACAAAAACAUUUAUAUCUUCUAACACCAUCACGUGACCAAGACUCAAAAUAUAUUUACAGUCGCUGGGUCGGUCUGGUGUACCUGCAACCUCCUGGUGAGGGGGGAAAAAUAUAAUAAAAACGGGAUGAGUCUAAAACUCAGUGAGAUCAGUGAGUGGAUAGUAGUUUUGAAAAUUAAUUCUUACUUUAAAAGAAAUAAUCAUAUCAUUUCCAAACAUGAUUGCACUAAACCAUAAGCGAGAAACCAGAAAUAAAUAAUUAAACAUUUAAAUCAGAUUACUAACCAUGGAAAUCAUAUCACAAUAUCAUAUAGAAUUCACAAAUCUGAAAAUCAUCACCAAACAAGUACCCAGGGAAAUAAUCUCGUCAUAUCCGGACCUCAACGGACGAGCAAUGACGUACUAUCUGGGUAACGUCACGCCCCGGAGCUACACGGAUAGACAGGGAAAUACCAUCUCAUAUCUCAUCAUAUCCGUGCAUGCAUAAUCUAGUCCCCAAAUGACAAAAACACCCAAGCACAUGGCCCAAAGCCUAUGUGUGUACUCAGACGGGCCCCAAAGGCCUGUAUCUCAUCUGUAUCAUUUGUAUCUCAAUAUCUGUUUGUAUCUUAUAUCUGUAUCUCUGUAAUCAUCAUACCGCAUGCAUAUGCCCCCAAAAGGCAAAAACGCCCAAACACAUGGCCCAAAGCCUCUAUGUGUGUUCAGACGGGCCCCAAAGGCCUCUCAUCUCAUAUCACCUGUAUUACUGUAUCUGGAGGAGAAGGAUACUGUCUAAUGAUUUCAAAAACAAUCAUUAUACUCAUAUUCACAUACCUUUUAAUCAUACUUUAAAUCAUACCACAUUCAAAUCCACUUUUCUUAUCUUUAAAAUAUUAUCAUGCUUUAUUCAAAGUCGAUACGCAAAAUCAAUAACCAAACAUUUUAAUAAAAUACCAAUGCGUGAAUAAAAAUCCAUUUCGAGGAAAUCAUUAAAUCAGAACAUUUAAAAUACUUAUUUCACAAACAUGCAUUACUAUCAUAAUUAACUAUGAAAAUAGGUUUUGUAUAUUCCACUCACAGUGACGGUGUUCACGGUCGGUUAUCGUCCACGUCCGCGGACCGGUUCUCGCUCGCGGAUCCUCCUAAAUCAAGGAAACGACAUAAUUAUUUUCCGUAAAUCGGAAUUACGGCUAAAUUUAUGCAAUAAACUCGAAACGAACAUCUAUCCAUAAUUGACAACUCCCGUGUCCAUAAAAUUACUAAAAUGCCCUUGAGUCCGUAAAUCAUUAACACAUACUCUGAAAUUGUACAACACCGAAUUACCCUCGGAAUCGUAAUUACACCCACUCCUCAAUUCUAGGAAUUACUAAAAUAUCCACAGGCUCAGAAAUUACAAAAUUGCUCUCAUAGUGUGAAAUUACCAAAAUGCCCUUGCCGGUCAACGGUCACAGGAAUUUGGUCAACGCUGGUUAGGAAGCUCAAAUCUGAAAGUUCAAAUCACGCUGAGUUCAAUGGUACCGGCGGUGAGCUCCAUGCGCGGCAACGGCGCCGGAAUCGAGCUCGACAGCCGUGAAUUCCAACAAUCGACCGGCGGCAAAAUAGUGACUCUCGGUGCCUAUGGAUGGUCGGAAAUGGAAGAGGGAGUCGUGGGGAACAAGAUCCAACCGGUGGUGUCACCCAAAACCGGCGAAAAUCCCGGCGGAGUAAAGUGAAACAAUCGCGGGUUCAAGCUUCAAUUGCCGGCGUUCCGGUUGGUUUUCGGCGGCGAGGAUGGCACGGGAACGACGGUCGGCUUCUAAGCUUCAGAUUGGUACCAAGCUCGGCUGAAACGGUGGCCGGAAAUGGGAGAUAUGGUCGGGUCAAGGUCGCCGGUUCCGGGUCGAGUUUUCGGGUCCGUAGUUGGAUCGGUUUGGCAGUUUCCCUUCACUCUCUCUCACACGUGCAUGUUUUUACCCUGUUUCCAGCUUAUUCUUUUACUUAUAAACUCCUUAACCGCCUCAUUUUCAUUUUGAAAUUCACAUAUGUUACAUUUAUUACCUUUUGUCCUUCACCUUUAAUUUCUUAAGUUUGACAUCAGUUUUGUUGGCCUCACCCUUGGCUGAAAGCUUUUUCCGUCACGUAGAUCGGUGAAAAUGAUUUGAUUAAUUGUGGCUCGUAGGUAAGAAUAAUUGAUGGUUGUCGAAGUCAGUAAAAAUAAAUACUUACUCUAAAUAAAUUGUGUAUAGUGAUUGAGCAGGGUCGUGUCCACAGAGAUCGGUAAUAUUUAAAUCUUUUUUAAAAUGUAAAUUGCAAAAUGGGGGGAUUGUUGAUAAUAAUAAAAAUCAAAUUAAAAUUGGGAAAAGCUUUAGUUGAAGGAAUUAACUCAGCUUGAUUCGACUACUGAUCAUUAAUUCAAAUAUAAAUCAUUACUACUUAUGAAUAGACCGGUUAUAGCUACUGAGACCCUCUAAUAGCUAAUCUCUCAUUAACUAGUCGAUAACCAAGGUACGACCAUUGGUUAUUUCCCUAAUCAAUAGAUAACCCUAGAUACGAUCAUAAAAUUUAAUCAAUUGACAGCCUGAAAAAUCAGAGAGACCCAAAUCCUAAUCAACAAACGCAUACGAUGGUUCAUUUAAAUUAGAUUGUUUAUUCUCAUAACACAACGCACUACUAUGCUAUUUGUCACAAAUAUUAAAAUCUUCAUACGAUGAAUCCUUUAAUUGACAAUAGAUUAAGUUGAUAAUUAAAUAGUGGCCAAUUAUCUAAUUAACAAACAUAAUCAUGACAAUAAUUUAGAGAAUAAACAAAUACCCAAAAAGUAAUAAAAUAAUUAAAGCAUAAGAAAGAUCUCACAGUAAUGAUGAAUCAAAGCUUCAUUAAUCUUCAACCAGAAUAAUAGGUUUAGUUAUUCACAGAGAAAAGAGAAAAAUUUAGAUCUAGGGUUUUUUUUUUACAAUAGAUUCCCCCCUUUAAUUCUCUCUCCCCUCUUCUCCUCUAGAGUUCUUUUUAAAAUAAAAUACUAAUAUCUAUUAUCUAAAUAUUAAAUUCGGAAUUACAAAAAUAACCAAAAAGAUAAAACACGUUAAACUAAUAACUGCAGAUCCGUAGUUGACAAUACGCGUCCACGCCUUAUCAACAAAGUUCUUCUGAAGCUCAUAAUUUCUCCAGGAAAACAAUCAUCCUAAAAAAUCAUCUUGUAGCUCAACUUUAUUACCAAUCAAUAGAAUUACACCUACAGAAAUAAAACACAAGUAAAUCACUAUUAUUAAGUGCAAAACAUCGAUAUUAAAGAAAGUAAACAAUGCAAAACUAGAGCAUAAAUUGCACUCUAACAAUAAUUAUUGUUUUUUUGUGUUCAUGUUUUUAAUUUAUUGGAUUUAGUUCACAAUUUAUUUUACAACAACUGAAAUAGAUGUUAAUUAGGAUAGAUUCAUUUUCUUGUUUAGUAUAUAGAAUUUUCUACUUUAAUUUAAUUGUAUCUUAAUUUUUUUUUUUGUUUAUAUAUUGUUAUGCAGUGAAUCAAGAGACCUAGGAAGAAAAAAUUAUGGUAUUCAACUUUCAUAAGGAUUCAAUUGCUCAGUCCACAUUAAUUCUAUCUUUUGUCAACACCAAAAUAUCAUUGGAAAGAGUGCCGCGUAGCUUUUGGUGUAUUAUCUUUUAUUUAAUUUUUUGUCAAGGAUUCAAUGACUAAUACAUAUUUAUUUUAUCUUUUAGCAACAUUAAGUCAUUGUAGUAGCAUCAUGCGGCUUUAAGUCAUUGUAGUAGUGUCGUGUAGGAUUUGUAUUUUGUUUAAGUUGCACAUGUGUUUGUUGAAAUUAUUUAUAAAAGAAUAUUAUUCCACUAAUCCAUUGAUUUUUCUUUUUUCCAUGGGGCAAUUAAUAAAAUCAAUUUGGGCCAUAUAUUUGUCAAUUAAUUCACUGAUCAUUUUCCUAGAGGGGAUUAAUAAAAUGAUAAUUUUAACGAUGAAGUAGAAUAAAAUGAGUUUCAAUAAUCAUUUUCUUCGAAAUACUAAAAUUUAAUUAGAAAUAUAAAUUUUUUCAAACUAAAAUAACAUAUUUUCAAUUGCAUAACCAAUUAGAACUAAUAUUUUUCCGAUUUUUUUUCAUCUGUUUUUACCCCUAGAAAAUAGUGUAUUUUUAAGAGUAAUCAGUUAGUUGAAAUUGAUAUUGCAAAUACAACCGCAAUCGAGAAUUCUCUCCUUUACUACUUAAACUAGAAAAUAGAACCGCGUUUCACGCGGCUUUGAAAAAAUUUAGUAUUAUCUUUUUUUCUUACUUUACACUUGAUGAAAUUGAUAAAAAAUAUGAAUUGAUUUUUUUUUUAAGAUGAGGCGGCCUUAUAAAAAAUAAAAAAAGAUAUUAGCCAGCAAUACAAAUAAAGAAGCAACGCAAGAUAAAGAAUAAAAUGAGAUAAUAUAUUAUAGAGUGAUUUUAUUCAUUCUAAUUGUGUGUGUACAAAAUAAAAAGAUGAGCUCUCCUUUUUAUAGUUACAUAAUCACUCCAUGAAAUUAAUGAAAAAUUAUGGAUCAUAAUUCAUUGUGAGAUAGUGGGAGUUAUAGGGAAGCUAAAGGUUGCUAAUGGGAGAUAGUGGGGAGACUAAGAGAUAUAUGUUAUGAACAUCUACAUUUAUUUUAAUAAAUUCAUAACACUCCCCCUUGGAUGUUCAUUACAAAGAAUAUGCCUCAUUAAAAUCUUUACAUAAUUGUUAUUGUGUAAUAACAAUCAAAUUAAUUAUGAAAAGAUGAAAAGCCAAAUCUAAAAGAAAAUUUAUCUAUUUAUUAGAUAAUAGAGAAUAUACAAAGAUGAGAAAUUGUGAUGCCACAUCACCUCCUCAAAUCCCAACUUUAUAUAUAUAUAUAGAUUGGUCAUGAAUAUGAGUCCUCAGUCACAUGUCCAUAUUAAUUUUGAGAAAUUUAUAAAAAUGACCAUAGAACUUUUACGUUUUUCAACUUUAACCCCCCAAAAUUUUUUCUAUCAUAACUAGCCAAAUAUCUUAUUUUUGGACUAGAUUACCCUCAUCACUUUCAUCAAAUUCACAAAGGUAUGCCACUUUUUCAAUUCCAGCACCACUAAAUACGAAUCUUCCUCAACAACUUAACAAACCUUCAUCACUCUCAACAAACUUCAUCACUCUCAAUAAAUCAACAAAUUCCAUCAAACAAACAUUGCAUAAUUGAAGAUACAAUCAUCAAUUGGAGAGCUUCUUAAAAUUAGUUUAUGCUCUUACACAAUGUAAACCUUUAAUCUAUUGAUUUUAUCAACUAAGUUCGAAAUUAAAGUGGGUUUUGUUGCAAAUGUUGUUAUUUUUCAUUCAUAAAACAAUGUGAUUUGUUAAAGUACUUAGUUUGAGUUGAGAAAUGAAGAAAAAUCAUUAAAAAUACAGAAAAAUCGGGCAAAAAAUGAAGUCCAAAACAAGUGAGACAAGCAGUGAGACAUGUGUCUGUCUCACAUAAACCCACUGAUUUUAUGGAAUAUAUGAUUUUGGAUUUGAUUUGUCUCGUCGUAAGCUUCGAAACGGUAUAAUUAUUACAAUAUUUUGGCUCACUACUCCGAACCCCAAUACACAUAAUCUCUCAAAUCACUAGAACAAGAGCUUUUAUUAUUUAAGCUCUACAAAACUCUCUGCUCUACAGGAAAUGCUUCUCACAAAAUUGGAUGCAGAAAUGAGGAGGAGGAACCUCUUUUUAUACCAAAACUUGGCUACUGUUCAUGCUUUAUUUAAUUAUUAUUUUUUUUCUUCUUCCUUUUCGGUCCGGCAUUCAUUUUUUCUUCCUCUUUUGUCUUCUUUCUUCUUUUCUUUUGUUCCGGUCAAAGAAGCAACCAAUGCAUUCUUCUUCAAAAUCAGUGGGCCCACCUUCUAGAAGGGUGGUGCCCACAUGCCAUUUUCAUCAUUAAAUAGAUGAGGGUUGGAAUAGAAUCUUUUCAAUGUGAAUCAUGAAGGAUCUAUUCAAAAUAAAAGUGAUAAAGAUUAAGAAAGAACUUAAGAAGCUAAGAGCUUUUAGAAGUCUUUGAAGAAAUAAUAUUAAUUUGAAAGGAAAAGAAUUUAAAAUGAAGAAGAAAAAGAUAAUUGAUAAGAAGUAAGACUAACUGUACAUCUGAUUGAGGAACAGGCUUGUUAAUUCAAACUAUUAUAACCAAUUGGGAAUUGAAUUAAGUUAACAGUUAACUCGUAAUUGAAUGUCUAAACUAACAAUGUAUACAAUUACAGAUGAGACUAUAAAAUUGCAAAAAUACUGCUGAUUGUGAAUCAAUUUGAACAUGCCAAUCCUUAGGAAUUCCUUUCAGUAUCAUGGGAUUUAGAUCUCAAUUACCUUUUUUAUUUGAGUACGAUGACAUCCCGAACUAUCAAAAAUACCCACUUGUCCAAACGUGCCUAUGUCCACUUUAUCAUUUAUAUAUGAAAUGUUCUAAUUAAAUGGAGCAAGUCCACAUAAUACAAUCAUUUUCAAUUACCCAGCAUUUGGAAUACAGAUGCUUUGUUUCUUCGUUUUUUUUAUUUUUUGUUCUUUUUUAUUUACUUGAUACAACUAAUAAGUAAACUCAUAGCAUUUUCUAUCACCUCUUUUUUUUUUGGGAGUAUUAGUAAAUCAACUCUGUAAUGCUCUGCCUCUUUACCAUAAAAGCUGCAUUUUAAUGGCAUCAGCUUACAGUUAUGUGUACUAAGUAAAACAAUUCUUUAUUGUGACAUUUUCAUCCUCCAGAAAAUACAUAAAUAAAAUAAAGGAAAUUUUAUUUUUGUUAAAAUCCAUGAAUAUUAAUUACUACCUUGUUCACUGUUCAGUAAAAAUAAAACAACAGUUUUUUUUUUUUUUAAUUUAACAAUAUUGUGUUAGAAUAUACUUCCCAGGUAAGGUUGAUAGAAAAAACCAAAUUUCAAUCAGUAUUGGGAUUCUGUCCCAAAACAAGCACUUACUUAUUACAACUUUUACUAACUUAUUUUUCCACCACACAAUUUACUCAAUUUUUAUUUAUACCACACAAUUUAACUUAUUUUAACUACCACUAACUUAAGUUACUUGGCUAGGGUAAAAUUAUGUUGCAACUGUGGUAUGAUACCACAAUUACAAUCAAUCAUUAAAUUUACAGUUGUACAAUUGUAUUUAUUGGACCUAAUGAUUAAAAGUAACUGUGGUAUCUUGCAACAUAAUUGGACCUACUUUGCUAACAUAUUAUAGAAACCAACAUCCCAGAUUUUUCUUAAGAUAUUUCUACAGAUAUUUUAACAUUUUAGAUUAUAAAUUACUUUUCAACACUUAAUUUAAUCACUGAUUGUUGACGACGACGAAGCCAACAAAUUUGUUUCGUUGUGCUAAUCGGACAAGCGAUAAGGACUUCACAAGAGUACAAAACAGAGCCUCGAUCUAAUAAUAUUACUGAACAUAGCAUUUUUGUUUCCUUAUUAAUGGAUUUGUUUCCUUAUUAAUGGAGAGAAGCAGUUCUGUUUUUGCAGUGAUUAAGCGCAUAGAAGAUAUUAAUGGCUUUACUUAUCAUCAUCAACUUCCUUUUGUGUCUCCCCUUCUUCCUCUUCUUCUUUGCUUUGCAAAGGCUCAUAACCUCAAGAAAUAAUACUAAAUUACCACCCGGCCCCUGGGGCCUUCCCUUAAUCGGUAACUUACACCAGUUUGAUGUCUCAAAGCCUCAAGUGUCAUUUUGGGAGCUGUCACGGAAAUAUGGCCCCCUCAUGUCCUUGCGUCUUGGUUUUGUGCCAUCCCUAGUAGUUUCCUCAGCAAAACUGGCUAAAGAGAUAUUAAAAACCCAUGACCUUCAAUUUUGUAGCAGGCCAGCCUUGGUAGGACAACAAAAGUUAUCUUACAAUGGUCUUGAUUUGGCGUUUUCACCCUAUGAUGGUUAUUGGAGAGAGAUAAGAAAAAUUUGUGUCAUUCAUCUCUUUAACUCUAACAGGGUAGAAAAUUUUCGACCCAUUAGAGAAGAUGAAGUUUCAAGAAUGAUUGAAAAGAUUUCAAAAUCAGUUGCUGCUUCUAAUCCCGUAAACUUAAGCGAGGUAAUGAUGUCUCUUACCAGCACCAUUAUUUGUAGAAUUGGAUUUGGCAAGAGGUAUGAUGACGAUAAAGCAACAAGUGCAAGAAGUAGAUUCCAUGCCCUGCUUAAUGAAACUCAAGCCUUGUUUGUAAGCUUUUUUGUUACAGAUUAUUUUCCUUUCAUGGGCUGGAUUGAUAAGCUCACAGGAAUGAUGCAACGCCUGCAAAAUAACUUCCAAGAACUCGAUAGAUUCUACCAGGAACUCAUCGACGAGCAUUUGGAUCCAAACAGAACAAAAUCAGAAUUGGCGCAACAGGAGGAUAUAAUUGAUGUUUUACUUCAAAUACGAAAAGAUCGUGGAUUUAAAGUUGACUUGACUUUGGACCACAUCAAAGCGGUGCUCAUGGUGAAUAAUUUUAUAAAUAGUUAUAUGUAGACUCGUGCUCAGGCGCAGACUUAAAAUUUUGUGCAGAUACCCAAUUUUACAGUCUUGUAAAAUGGUUUAUAAUGCUGUAAAGUGCCUUUGAUGUCCGCCUGAACAUGAUUAAUUUAAUGUAAUUUUAUUUGCUUUUAACUAAUUUACUAUGUAUGUAUGUAUGUUGUUUGUUUUGCAGAACGUACUCGUUGCUGGAACAGACACGAGUGCAGCAACUGUGGUUUGGGCCAUGACUUACCUAAUGAAGAAUCCUAGAGCAAUGAAAAAAGUUCAACUGGAAAUCAGAUCGUUGAUUGGGUGCAACAAAGGCUUUGUAAAUGAAGAUGAUGUUCAAGAACUGCAUUAUCUUAAAGCGGUAGUGAAGGAGACAAUGAGAUUGCAACCCACAGUACCAUUACUAAUCCCAAGAGAAACAAUUCAAAAGUGCGUAAUAGAUGGGUAUGAAAUACCAGCUAAAACACUUGUCUUUGUAAAUGCAUGGGCGAUAGGAAGAGACCCUGAAGCUUGGGAGAAUCCGGAGGAAUUUUAUCCGGAGAGAUUCGUUGAUAGCUGUAUUGACUUUAAAGGGCAACACUUUGAAUUAAUACCGUUUGGUGCUGGCAGAAGAAUUUGUCCUGGGUUGAAUAUGGGAAUCGCAACUGUGGAUCUCGCACUUGCUAAUCUUCUUUACAAAUUUGAUUGGGAAAUGCCGCCUGGAAUGAAGAGCCAAGACUUGGACUUUGAUGUUCUGCCGGGAAUUACUAUGCAUAAGAAGAAUGCUCUCUCUCUUUCGGCUAAGUAUCAUGAGUAGGUAAAUUAAGGCACCUCGGACAAUAAGAGUUUGAUCUGAACUAAAUAUAUGUUAUAGAGAUUGCAUGUAUGUCCUGAAUUGUGCUUCUCAUGUUUCCUUUCUUUCUUCUUAUGUAUAAUGAAUGUUGAUGUCUAAGUGCCCAUAGGCUGAGUGGUUUUUAAUAAUUAAAUUUCUUUUAGUUCAAAAUUUUGGGAGGUAAGGACUAGAGAAUAAUAGUUACUCUGCUCACUCUCCUAUACUAAAAAAAAAAGGUUGAUAUGAAUGUGAAUAUUAAUCUAGUACGUUCAUUUCAUCUCAUAUUUUUUCUCCUAUAUUUUUUUCUUUAAAUUUAACUUCUAUCACUUAACCUGCUAUCUUUUUAUAUGAUUGGAUAGAGAUUGAAAUUUUUGCUGUUCCAUCUCAAUGUUAAUGCUUAUAUUAUCUUCACACCUUUACUGUAAUUUUUUACUUUUACUAUUAGAUGCUGAUAGGGUCUUUUCUUGGAGAUUGCUUCACAAAAAAAAUUCUGAAAGAAGAUUUUGUUGAUCGGAUAGCAAGCUUAUCCAUAUAGUUUAAUGGAUUAUCUGCAAGAGCUCUUUUUAGUGCGCAUACAGUUGUCCCUUCAUGUUAGCAUAUUCAUUCUGUCGUCAAUGAACUUUUGCAUUUAAAUGGUAUCAGUUCAAGUGAUGAAUGAAUUUUACCUAUUGCCUAUCUUGGACUAAAUUUAAUUUCAAAAAAUGAGCUUCCAGCUUAUGACUUAUACGUAUCUUGCACUUUGGUUUUACGAUCACCAUUGGAUGGAAGAGUGGCUCGAGUUUGUUAAUUGCUUCAGUCCCAGGACUAGUGUUUGGAAACAUAAAAUUUCUCAGUUCAGCAGCUAUAAAUCUGUUUCAUGAUUGUUAUUGCACACUAUUUCCUAUAUUUUUGUCUCCAUGCUCAUACUGAAUUAGUGGUGCAUUUGUCAUCUUUCGCCUCUCAUUAAAAUGUGCUUAUUAUUUUUUAUUUCAAUCGUAGGAUGGGAAGAUUGAUACUGAUUCCAUCUACAAUGGGUUUAAAGACAACGUGAGGUUAAUGUGGGAGCGUUUCUUGUCAUCCCAGCAAAUGUUGACAUAAACAACAGACUGCAAGCUUCCCCUACUCUCUGUUCAUAUUUGCAUUUGUGUGCAUCUUGUACUUGUUGUUGCAGAAAGAUGAAUAUGUAAGAAUAAGAUCGUGUUUGUAUGCAAUGGUCAAAUGUUUUUGCAAAAAAUGUCGUUGCUUGAGUUCCUCAAUUCUCAUUCUGAACUUCAAAUUUUGUACAUUUCUUUAACUUAAUUUUUUUUUUUUCUGUGUAAUAGUAGUAUAAGUUUGGUAUCAAAAUUAAGCUAGUGACAUACUUGGAUCACUUGGGAUCCACUUGCAAAUGUAUUUUGAAGAAAAGUUUUCUCCCCGCCUUUUAUGUAAUCACACCCACCAGUAAUAUGGUAAUUUAUUGAAAGGUCCUUGAUGCCCGGUAAAAGUUAUAAUUAAAUUAAUAAACUUAUCUUUUUAAAUUAAUAAACUCAUCUUUUUGAAUAAGUUCAUCAUUUUGUACGUAUAUUAGUUUUUUUUUUUUAAAUUCCUUUUAUUUCUAAACUAUUGGUUGGAAGCAAAUAUUUCACUGUAAUCUCCUGUCGACCAAAGGAGAUGCCUUUCCCAAAGCAAGAAAAGAAAACACAAAAAGCCCACUUCAAAAACUUGUGCAAGAAGGAGAUGUGAUUACGCUGUCUUUCUGUUUCUUGGUGCGUGUAUAGAUAUAUACAUACACACAUAAGUCUGAGGACCAGCUGGCCAACAGCCCACUAGGAAGCAAUUUUAAAAUUUUUGGUCAGUAUUGUUCUUUAUAUCUUAUGAAUUUUUCCUUCAAUUAUUAUAUUUUCACUCAGUUUUGUUUUUGGGCACGCGUUAUGUGAUUUUCUUUUGAUGAUUUCCGUGGCUUCUUUUUAGCUCUUAUUUUACUGUUUCUACUGGUUAGUUUAGCUACUGUCUACUGAGAUAAAAUUAUUUGCUUGAAUAACUUAAUCUUUUGCUAUUUUAUUACGUUCAGUUUAUAUACAGUUGAUUCAUUGUAACAAAUGUUAUCAUAAAUGAUUCUUGAGUAAUUUCAUUUAUUUACUUUUUCUUCUUUCAUAGUUGGCCUGUACGGUAUCAUUUACUUUUAUCUUUUUUCAAAUUUCUUUUAAUCUACAGAAUGUUUGUUUUAGUCCUGAUCUUGGGUUACUGAAAUGUUUCAUUCCCUUUUCCUAAGUAUUUUUGUUGCUUGUUUAUCGGGCAAUACUGCAACAGUGAUUUUAAUUCACAAAAUUCUGUAAAUACUUAUUAUUCUUAGUGUGGUUUUAAGGUAGAGUGAAGUUAAUAUUAUCAUAAUGGCUUACAUUCCUCCACAUAUGAGGCAUACGAAGGACCCCCAGAGGCCAUCUCCAGUUCCAGAGAUGAUUGUGCCUAAAUUCAACAGAAAAUUAAACUUGGGAUCAUCCAAGCAUAAUGCAGACAUAAGUGGAAAGAUCGUGUAUGCAGAUCCUGCCAUACACAGGUGGUUCAUUUGUGGCUUGGAUAAUGAUAGCAGCAGUCCUUCUGUCCGCUUUGUGGAGUUUUCAGACGACCCUGUUGAGCAUAAAAAAUCGACGACCAUUAAUCUGGCUCGAGGUUACUGAUCUGCAUUUGUAAUUUUAUCUUAAAUAUGUUCUACUUUCUUUCUUUAUUUAUAUCUGGUGCUAACUUUAGUUAUAUUGACAUUUGGAUUUUGGGUUGGUAGAUAACGAUAAAUUGUGUGGGAAUACAUCAAGAAGCCCAUGGGAAUCGAUAGCAGAAAAUGUAUGGCCAGAUGUAUUGAGUGCUUGUAAUAUUGUCAAGAACGAAAUGGAGGAAAAGCCAACAAUGGUUGCUAGAUUUGGCCAUCAUCUUUUCCGUGAGUAUGUGAUCUGGUUCCAUUGCUGUAACAGCUUGAAUUUUUUAUUAGGUCAUUCCUUUUCUUUGGACUUUGAAAUUAAAGCAGCAAAAAUGCAUAUUCAUACUUAAUUCUGACAGAAAUCUUAUGGUCAUAUAAGUGGUGGCAGCUAAAAUUAUGAGCUUUACCAUUAACCCUACCACCAGCUGUGGAUGACUGUAAAUCGGAUCUCUAAACCAGGGACAAAAGUUAAAAUUGCUUUUAAAAGCCAAAGAGGAAAAUGGCAAUUUAUAGUGCAUGCACUUCUUUCAGACUUGUAUCUCAUAGAAGCUUUCAUGGCAUCUGGAAUUUGGCUUUGGCUUUGCGUAGGACAUUUCAAUUGUUGCUGGUGGAAACAAAUAUAUCCAUUGUCUUAGUUUUGCUUGAUUUCCGGUGCAAGAAACAAAUAAAUUUGUUGCCGUGGCCAAGUUUUGUUGUUUGAUAUUUCAUUGGGACAACAAAGUAUACCACUGCUUCGCCUAUUUCUUACAUCUUUGCAUCAUAUAUUUCCAUUCUUCUAUCACAUCUUUGAAGCUUCUACUAGUUCUCAUAUUAGAAGCGCCUCAAAGAAAUAAUUAUUAUAUUAUUCGUCUUAAUGAAGGAGUGACAUACUGAGCUUAGAAAAUGCGAAAGAAGGUCAGGUUGCUGAAUCUGCUUUGAGCCCACUGAGGAGAUGCUUUUACACUGGUGUCCCUCCUACAUACAUGGGAAAAAUUGUAAAUGAAGUUGUGCCAAAAAUUGGGGUUGGUUUUGUAGAGAACAAGGAUAUAUACCAUGUCAAGGUAGUUCUCCUGCAGUCCUGCUAAAUACUUUAGUAGUCAUGACCAAGUUUCUUUUAUCUCUCAAUUAAUUAGCCAUUGAUUCCCCCCCCCCCUUUCUUUUUCUUGUGUAGUUGUCUGAUGGCACACGACAAAUUACGUGCAAAUGUACUGUUAAAGAAGAUCAAAAGCUUCAUCUCUAUAAGGCAAGUCUUUUGCUACUGGCUGAGUAUUAUUUAUGGACAACGGGUCCAAGUUUAUAAGUUGCCUCUUGUGUUAAGGAGACUUUUGCUAGUGGAAACAUUGAAACAAGACUUAUGAUGUUUUGAUUUGAAUGAUAUAAUCUUUUCACUGUGAAUUAUGAAGGAGAUGUCGAAUAUAAGCGAUAGAUAUCAAGAAAGAGACGAAACCUUUGUGUCUCAAAAGAACCUUUUAGAAGUCUCUCCAGGAAUAAUCUCAGUUAAGAGGAAAAGAAUUUAAAAUGAAAAGAAGGAAGAAAAUUCUCAAGAAGUAAGACUAAUUCUACAUCUAAUUGAGGAACAGGCUUGUUAAUUUAACAAGGAAAGCUCCAGUAGCUAUUUAUUAUAAACCAAUUAAAAAUUGAAUUAAAUUAAUAGUUAACUUGUAAUUGAAUGUCUAAUCCAACAAACUAUGCAUAAGAUUACAGACGUAACUAUGUAAUACAAAAAACCUCUGCUUAUUGUAGACCAAAGUGAAUAUGCCAAUAUUUAGGAAUUUCUUUCAGCAUCAUGGGAUUUAGAUCCCUAUAAUCUUUUUUUAUUUUAGUGUAGUGACGUCCGGAAGACCAGAAUUAUCACGUACCUCGUACUAGUCGUUUUAUUUAUUUUGUCUUUUAAAGCGCCACAUUAUUUCCCAUACAGUCAUAAUAUAUCUAUUUUUUGUUUAUUUAUCGUUGCCGUGUGUGGAGUCUCAUCUUGAAUAUGAACAUUUUUCCGGUAGGUCGAACUGAACUCUGUUCGUCACAUGGUAGCAGACAUGUUAUGCGUUCAUAAAAAUCUAGACCUGAGGUUGGCACUAUGUUCAAAGAGUACCUUAUCUGCUCUCUCGGUAAGUCAAUCUGCUCCUCCGUGCAUGUUUUAGCUGGACUUUUAAGUUACGCCUUCUUUUUUCCCCUUUUUAUUUUAUUUGGUCAUUUGCUUGUUGGAAUCAUCAUCAUUACAGAAUGAUGAAGAAAAAUUCAAGACCAGGGGAAAUAAGGAAAUAUUAAACUUAUAGCUUUUGUUUUAUCAUAGAAAGUUUACUUUCAAGGGGUUGAGAAAAAAUUUAUAUAUAUAUAUAUACACACACACAUACACACACACACACACACACACACGACAAGCUUAAAACGGUUAAACAUUAGCAUGCAUGAUCCUUUUCUUCAAAACUGAAACUUUACAAAUGUUAAAAAUAGAAUAACAAAUAAAUUAUUAGAUUUCCAAAAUCAGUUACCGUUAUGCAGGCUUAAAACAAAAGUUAAAUAUAAGCUCUUUUUUUUUUUUUUGGGGGGGGGGGGGGGGGGGGGGCGUGUGUGCCUAUGAGUAGUCCCAGCAAAUGAAUUCUAUGAUCAAACUGAAAUUUUUGAAUUUUCAGGAUGAUGAAAUGAACAGCAUUAGAAUUCUGAUUAAUUCAGCCAUUCCGGAUCCGGAAGUCAAGGGUGGGUUAAGAUGGCCCAUGGGGAAGUCAUAUUCAGGGGAUUACACAAUUGUUGGGGUUUGGCACAAUGAAUUUAAAUCAUAUAAAAGCCCAUCACUAAAGCUUAAGGUAAGAAAUGUUGAUCGAUUUAUUUUCAAGACUGGAACUGGGGAAGCUACGAUUGAGAUUAAUCUAAAGUUGAGAAGACUAGUUUCAGAGAUUCAGGUACUUGCUGCUUUUUGCUUUAACUUUUAUCACAAAACCUACUAUCUUUGUGCAUGAUUACAUGGAUCUUGAAAUUCUUGCUGUUAUGUCAUAAUGUUAAUGCAUAUUUUGUCUUCACGCAUUUCUUACUGAACUUGUGUCUUGAGCUGUAAUUGUAAUUUCCAAUUUUUACUAUUAGAUGGGUAUUUUAUUGGGGAUUUCUUUACUUAAAAAAAAAAUAUGUUUGACAGAGAAUAUUUUAACGAUGAGAUUGCAAUAUUGUAAUAGAUAAUCUUCAGGAACUCUUUUUACCUUUUAGUAGUUAUGCAGUUGCUCCUCUGUGUUAGCUUAUUUAUUCUAUCAUAUGUAACGAAUGACUUUUUACCAAAUUUGAUUUCAAAGCUGAGCUUCCAGCUUAUGACUAAUAUUUGUGUCUUGCACUUUUGUUUUACAAUCACCAUUAGAUGGAAGAGUGCUUAGAGUUAGUUAAUUGAUUCAAUCCCAGGAUUAGUCUUUUGAAACAUAAAAUUUAUCGGCUAAGCUAUAUAAAUCUGUUUCAUGUUUCUUAUCGCACACUAUUUCGUAUGGCUUUGUCUCCAUGCUCAUACAAAAUUAGUGUUGUAUUAGAUGUCUUCUGUCUUUCAUUCACAUGUACUUAUUACUUUUUCUUUCAAUCGUCAGGAUGGGGAGAUUGAUACUGAUUCCAUCUACAAUGGGUUUAACGACAACUUGAGGUUAAUAUGGGACCAUUUCUUGUCAUGGGAGUCAUAACUUUUGACAAAAACAACAGAUUGCAUGCUCUCCCCGCUCGGUUCAUAUUUGCGUUUGUGUGCAUCCUGCAGUUGAAGAUGUAGAAUGAUGUAAAUGCAAGAAUAAGAGCAUGUUCGUAUCCAAUGGUAAAAUGUUUUUGCUAAAAUGUAUGGACUUGUAACAGCUUGUUGCGUGAGUUUCUCAAUCUCCUGAACCUCAAAUUUUGUCCUAUUUUCACCCCGGCUUUUUCCCCCCGUCCUCUGUAAUAGUUAUAUUUGGUAUAAGUUUGGCAGUUCCUGUGUAAAGUGUUUCAUAUUCAUGUGUGGAAUAAAUAUCAACAUCCAGAUACAAGAAAGUUUGAUUUUAUUUGUAAGACCUGUCUCUCAAAGUUAAUCUAGUGACAUGCUUGAAGCACUUGGGAUCCACUAGUUGGAUGUAUUUUUGUUAAGAUUUAUUUAGCAUUUUGUAUGUGUAUCAGUGCCUUUUUUUUUUGUUGUUAAACCGUUGGUUAGAGGGCAAAUAUUUCACAUUAAAGUGGGGUCUGCUUGCCACCAAGGGAGAUGCCUUUCCCAAAGCAAGAAACGAAAACUCAAAAGCCCACUUCAUAACUUGUGUAAGAAGGAGAUGUAAUUGACAUAUGCUGUCCUUUUUCUUGGUGCGUGUAUGUGUGUGUAUACACACUUAAUUCCGAAGAUCAACUGAGCCAACAGCCAAAACUUGAAAGCAAUUUUAAAAUUUUCGGUUAGUAUUGUACUUUAUAUCUUUUGAAUUUCUCUUUAAUUUAUUAUAUUUUCACUUUAGUUUUGUUUCUGGGUACUCUUUAUGGGCCACAAUUAUGGUACCACUGUGGUACCAUACCACAGCUGGAUCCAGCCAUUGGAUCCGGCCUACAGUGGUCCCCAUAGCUGGAUCCAAUGGCUGGAUCCAGCUGUGGUAUGGUACCACAGUGGUACCAUAGCCGGACCCCUCUUUAUGUGCUUUUCUUCGAUGAUUUUGGUGAGCUCAUAUUUUACUGUUUCCACUGGUUAGUUUAGUUAUUGUCUACUAAGAUAAAAUUAUUUGCUUCAAUAACAUAGAGUAUUGAGGUGUUGUAAUUUAAAAUUUUAGAAAAAAAUAUAUUUAUAAAAUAAAAGUUAAUAGUAUGUGGUAAAUAUAAUUUUAAAAUAAUAAUUUUAAUAAAAUUAGUAAAGAUAUAAUAGAUUUUCAUCAUAUAAAAGUAAAAUCAAAUCAACUUAAUUUCUAAACUACAUAAAUUAAUUUUUAUAAAACACUUUAGUGCUGUAACUACCCAACCUCAAUCUAAAGUAUAGCCUUAAUUGUUUGCUAUUUUAUUAUGUGAUUGUAUAUAGAGUUAAUUAAUUGUAUCAAAUGUCAUUAUAAAUGAUGCAUGAGCAAUUUCAUAUUGUUUUUCUUUCCUUCAUUGAUAAUUGGCUUGUCGGAUAUCUUUGAACUUUUUUUUUUCGCCUCAAAGUUCUUUUAGUCUGCAGAAUGUUGGUUUUAGUUUCGAUCUUGGUUACUGCAAUAUUUCAUUCAUUCUUUCUAAGCAUAGUGGGUUCAUUUCACAAAAUUCUGUAAUAAGUACUUAUUGUAGUUUAAGGUAGCGCGAAGUAAUAUUAUCGUAAUGUCUUACAUUCCACCACAUAAGCAGCAGUUUGUAAUCAAGACUGCAGAGAAUCUUGCAGAUAUAUUGACUAAGGUGGUGACGACAAUUAAGUUUGAGCAUUAUCUAAACUUGAUCAAUAUCUUACAAGUUUGAAAAUAGUCAGAGAAGACAGAGACUGGAGGAUGGUUUGUUGAUAGUCGGCUCAGAUUUACUAAAUUUUCGUUAAGGUAGAGAAUUGUUGAAAAAUCAAGCAUGCUUGCAUGAGCUAGCUAGCAUGCAAAUUUCAAGCCCACCAAUGUUCAGCUAGCGUGAUCCAAUUGCAUGUGCUAGCAUGAUCUCUUCGUCAAAAGUCACACCAAAGCCAUUAAAAUUGAAAAUGGCCAAAGUUUUUUUUUCAUGCAUUUAUAUUGUAAGAUUUGCCUAUAAAUAGAGGAGUAGAAUGCAUUUGUAAAGCAUCCCAAUUUGUGAGAAGUAGAGAGCAAUUGCAAGUGAGCUCUUUGAGAGAAUUUGAGAGAGCUUCCACUUGAGUGUUCUAGUUGUUGUGCAAAUUUUAAUGUACUCGCAAGCGCACGAAUCUAUUGUAGUAUAGAUCAAUGGUGACGAGUGUCGAUCCCACGAGGAGGUGGAUUUUAAUUGUGUAUAGAAUUAAUUUUGUAAAUGGGUGGUUGGAUCUGUGGUGGAAAUGAAUUGGAAUAUGCUAAAACUUAAAUUAAAAUGGCGAGAAUAAAUUCUAAAAUUGGAAUUGCAAUGGCGAGAAUAAAUUGAAGAGAAAUGUAUUGAAAUGACGUACUUGGGUAUCUGGAUCCGUAUCAACAUGCAUCAUGGGCUAAAUAAUCCGUAUUAAUGCCAAUUAAAUCAUGAGGGGGGAAUCCACACCUCAUGAACCACGCUCUAAUCAAUAUGGUGCUAAGGGCUUAUCGUGCCAAAUAAUAAUAACCUUAUACUAGAGAGCCGGUGUAACCAAGGCGGUAUCUAGACAAGAUCAGUAUUAUUUGUCGACGAUAAGUCAAAUCAUCCACAAAAACUAGAGGGGAAAAGAAAAUAAAUUUACCAAAUAAAGCCCAUGACACAUGUUGAGACUUCACCUUCAACCCAAGCUUGAAAGGAAAUUAGCUACUCAUAAUUGAACUAGGGGCAAAAUGAAAAUUUAUUAAAAUACGAAGAAAAUACAAGAUGGAGAAGGAAUUACAGAAAAUGGAUCCCAAAAAUGGAUUCAGAGAUAUCAAAUUAGGGGGGGGAGGCCCCUUUUUUAUAGAUACAUGGAGUAAAUCAUGGCCAUCGGAUUAAAAACAGUUUGGACGCUCAGGAUUGCGCCACGUCAUCAGUCAACAGUCCACGGUUUGACCACGCGGAUGAACAGUAACACGGUUUGACCACGCGGAUGAACAGUAACGCGGUUUGGUUGAAAAUAAUCCUGUGUGAUGCAUGCACCGUACGCGAGAUUUUUCGUCCACUGAUAUGCUGCCACGUCACCAUCAACAGUACAUAAGAAUUUUAGUCCAACAGGAUCGUGACACCUCAUCAGUCAAUGCCACAUCAUCGGUCAAUGCCACGUCAUCGAUCCGUCUAUGUGAACAGUGUCGUGAACAGUAACGUAGACAGUACCGUAUACGUGAAUAGUACCGUACAUGUGAAUAGUGCCAUUUUUCUUUUUAUGCCCCUCCUAAGGUUUUCGACCGUCCUGAGUUCAAAAGUGAUGUCCGUUUUGCCAUCUGAUCUCUCCUUUAUUGUGAAAUAACUAUAAUGCCCCUAAAAUACAUAAAAUACUUAAUUAAAAUAAAACACAUGUAAUUAAAUCACAAGAAGGUUAAAUACAUAAAAGUAAGGGUUUUUAAUAAGACUUGAAAUGUAAAAUGACGGUUUUCUCCUUUAUAAAUAUGCAUUUUCUAACACUCAACACACCCCCCAACCAGCUUAUUGCUAGUCCCUAGCAAAUAAAGCGAAAACAAAAUUCAAAUUCAAAAUGAUUUUUUUUUUUUUUUUGAACUACUCGUGUUUAUUCAAUCAGAUUAAUGAUAGCAAUCAAAUAAAAGUAUAAGCAUUAUCUCCAGUCUAAAGCAACAUCACACCCACAUCAACCAUCCACAUGAAUUAGCCCAGUAGACUUUGUUAUAGCUACUUUCAAGAAUGACAUGUCAAACCCCAAAAUCUCACUUGAAGUAGUGACACUCUCACAAAGAAAUUAAAACCCAAUAAACAUAGUCACUCCAAUGAAUGGUAAUUGAGAGAGAAAAUAAUAAAGAAAUGAUAUCACAUGCUCUCACCAAGAUGAAAUAAAUAUGCCCUCAGCUUAGAAAUAAUGCGAUCUCAAGUCAAAUAAAAUGUUAGUCAACCCACUUUAUUUAUCUUUUUUUUUUAUUAUUAUUAUGCAUCACUACAUCUUUUUAGCCCAUAUAACUAGCUUCUACUUCAAACUAUAGUUCCCUAAAAUCAAGAAGGACUUUUAUUAGGACGUAACGUAGGCUAGGGAUAUGGCUAACAAAGAAAGGAAAUAAGGAAAACAAAGUGUAUGUUUGAAAAAAAUGCAGAAUUUUUUUUUUUUUUUUUUUUUUGGAACUUGCAAGGUGGAUUUCACCUAUUAUUGUUAUUUUUAUUCUUUUGAAACAACAACUUUUGUUUUUGUUUUUGUUUUUUUUGUUUUUUUUUUUUGCUUUUAUUUGGCAUAACUUCACUGAACAACAUAAUUAUUUACAUUUUCUCAAACAUAAAUAGGUGAUGGAACUUAAAAGACAUUGGGUAAUACUCCAAAUCGGAGUGGGUCAAGAUGAUAAGUUGACAAAGAAAAGGUUUUUGUUCUUUUUUUUUUUUUUUUUUUUUUUUUUUUUUUUAAGGCUCAAAAGGGGUAACUAUGGAUAUUUAAUAAAAGGGAUGGCUAGAAAGGCUCAAACGGAUCAAAGAUGGCCUUUCUAUCGUCUUUUAGGGCUCUAAAUAAUUAUCCAUAUCUACUAGUUAGAUGGGCCUCCCAAUGUAGCAACACACAUUUUUUUCUUUUUUCUUUUUUUUUUUAAUUUUACCAUAUUUUUUUUUUUUUAAAAGGGUUAACUUAAAAGAAAUCUAGAGAUCGUGUAUAAAAUAAUAAACUGCUAAGCUGUAUAGAGAAUGGGUAAAAGGGUUACUCUCCAAGAAAAUGAUAGGCUCAACUACUCACUUGGCACUUAUUUAUGACAUGUUCAUUCCUUCAAGCAACUCAUAUUUGUCUCCGACAUCAACAUGUAAAGUAGCAAACAUAGCGUAACAUCACUUAAGACCAAAGAUAAUACAAAUACUAAAAUUUGAAAUUAGUCAUGUCAUCCAAUGUUAAAACAAAUAACACAAUUUUUUUUAAACAACAUUCUACCCCCCAACCUAUUCUAAACAUGAAAGGAAAAUAUGCAUGCAGAAAUGUGAAAAUGAUGUAGAAAAAUUAAUUAGAAAAAGAAUUUUUUUUUUUUUUUUUAAACUAAGAAGAUGCGUUUCUAGAGGCACUACACUCCAUAUUCAGCCAUCUUCGACUCAAAAAUUUGAAACUACAUAUUUAUAAAGGAGAAAGAGGAAGAAAACAGGUUUUUUUUUUUUUUUUUUUUAAAACGAUGAAGAUGCGUUUCUAGAGUAACUACACUCCAUAUUCAGCCAUCUUCAACAUAAAAUGUUAGCAACAGUUAGUUUCUACAACAAAAAAUCAGUAAAAACUUAACCAAGAUUCCACAAUUGUCGACUAUUCCCUUCCCCCAACUAGAACGAAACAUUGUCCUCAAUGUUUUAAAGGAAAGAAGUAGAGUUUAGAAGACAUCACCUGGGUGGUGCAACACAGAAGAAAAUAUUUACAAGCGGAGAGUUAAAUCUAAUUUGUACUUCUUACUGCGGCUACUGUUACCAUCAUUAUUUGGUCGCUCCAACACAAAGGUCCAGGGGUCUGGCUCCGGUUUAUAAGCUUGUAACAUAUCAAGUAGCUCAUUAGCAGUGUGAGCACAAAUAAAGAGUUUUUUCACAUUAGAAGGAAUGAAAUAGUUUUUUAUUGCAUGGUUAAGAAAUGCGAUAAAGUCAUCAUAAAAGUUAUUGACAUUUAACAAACCGAUAGGUUUCUGGUGGAUGUGCAGAUGGGCCCAAGAUGCUAGUGUCAUAAGUGCCUCUAGUGUUGCAAGAUCUCCUGGAAGGAAAAUAAAAGCAUCAGCAUGAUUAAGCAUUUCAGUUAUUCUUUCUUGCAUACCUGAGACGACUAACUCUUCUCCAGUUGAUGAGUCAGACGAACUGCCCAAUGGUUUUAGGACUCUUGGGAUGAUGCCUAACACUUGACUUCCUCUGAUAAAAGCUGCUUCUGAGACCAUUUUUGAUAACCCUCGGUUACCUCCUCCAUACACCAAAUGUAAUUUUCUCGCUGCUAUGCUUCGACCAAGAUCUAUGGCUGCCUCAACGAACUCUUUAUGUUUGCCAUAGGUAAAUCCAGAAAGCACACAAAUGUUCUUGAAUUGUCUAUUGGGAGUAGCGGCCAUUGUGAUACUUCUCAAAAAUAAUUUGUGAGUGCUUGACAAAAAAUAGAUCACAUUUAAGAAUCUUGGUGACAGUGGAUCACAGCUGUGAAUGAGGUAACAUGUCAGUGUGAAAUAACGCGUGAAGCACAUGGCUUGCGAGUCAAAAAGGAAACAGUAAAAAGGAAAAAGCAAACAGUAAUAAAAUUAUUAAAGACAAUAAUGCAAACAAUAAAACAACAGUGAAAUGAAAUAAAAUAACAGUAAAGUAAAAUGAUAUUUACACGUAGUUGCGACUGUGGCUCACAUCUUCCUCUGGUUUUACGUCCAGAAACGGCUUGAACGCCCUCUAUGGGUCGAGGAUGGGCUUCCCAUCCAGUUUUCUUAUAAACUGGCAAACAGGGUCGUUUAUAGUCAGAUUCCCGAGACUAUAUCGUGCAUGCUCUUUCUGGAAUAAUGGCCAUAACCGGAGAAUCGCUCCUUGCACAUAUCCACUGGGAUGCGUUUCAAGAGACAAAAGGAUAUCAUCCAAUGACUCCUUAUUCAAGCCAUCCCUAAUGAAUUGAAUCUUAUCUUCCCUGUUAUCAGACACCAUUCCUAAAGAACAUGGGUUUCUAUCGCAACUCAUUCUGGCACACUUAUGACAAGCAACAGAAAUUCUUCGAGCUCGUCGUUUUCUUGCAUAAUUGCCUUUACCACAACCAGGCAUGUAUGCAAUAAAUUUAUGAGGUAACUCACCUGCCAAUCGUACUUUAGCCUCGAUUAACCAACGGAUGUCUGCAGGUAUGUUAUUCCUCAUGAGCAAUCGCAUGCGUUCAGACCGGGCUUUAUAGAUUGUAAGGAGGGCAUUCUGAGGAAGUGAAGGGAAUCGCUUGUGAAGCUUUGCUAAAAUCUCGUUUCUAUCCAUACCUUCGCCUCAGAAUAUCAGUUAUUAUGGGAAACUGAAGUUAACCGACUUGAUUGUCACGGAGUACCGUUAUCCGCCACUUCACCGGGGUAACAAACUAAAGCACACAAACAGAAAAACAAAUUAAAACACACAAAGAAAAUUAAAAUCGUCCUCUUAUUGAAUUUACCUCAAGCUCCAACUGGAUGUCGUAAACACUUCUCUCAAUGUCUCUGAGUUGGCGUUCUAAACCCUCAACAUAGGCUACUAACUCUGGUGGUUGUAGAGCCCAAAUGCGUUGUGUUUUACAAAAUAGAAUCUGCCUUUUGAGAUGAGUUUUGACACGUUGAAGUGGUUUAAGAAUGUUCAGGAGGAACGGUCUAAGUAUGAGACUCAUGAUUAAAAAUGAUAAGAGAAAACUUAAUUGUUAAACAAACACACUUAUGCAAAAAUAAUUUCAAUUAGCAAAAGAAUAAUAAAAAGAAAGAAAGAAAAAUCAAAUCAAUAAAAAGAGAAAAAAAAAAUUAAUUCAAAUCUGGUGGGUCACUCAAAUUUAUUUCGGUGUCUUCUUCAUGUGGUUGGUACUCUAGAUAUGGCUUUAAUCUUUGACCAUUAACUUUAAACGUGACACCGUUCUUUGGGUCUUUAAUUUCAAUUGCCCCAUGUGGAAAAACAGUAUGAACAAUAAAGGGACCAGACCAUCGAGAGCGUAACUUACCUGGGAAUAGGUGCAAGCGAGAAUUGAAUAAAAGCACUUUCUGACCUGGAGUGAACGAUUUUCUCAUAAUUUGCUUAUCAUGGAAGACUUUCAUUCGUUGCUUGUAAAUCUUGGCAUUUUCGUAUGCAUCAUUGCGAAUUUCUUCAAGUUCUGCCAGCUGUAAUCUUCUUUCUGAGCUGGCUUGCUGCAUGUCAAAGUUGAAUUUCUUGAUGGCCCAAUAUGCACGAUGCUCGAGUUCCACAGGUAGGUGGCAAGCUUUUCCAUACACUAGCCUGUAGGGUGACAUCCCAAUCGGGGUCUUGAAAGCCGUUCUAUAUGCCCAUAAUGCAUCAUCAAGUCGUAAUGACCAAUCUUUUCUGUCUGGCCUCACCGUUUUUUCUAAUAUGUGCUUGAUUUCUCGAUUGGAGAUCUCAACUUGGCCACUGGUUUGCGGAUGAUACGGGGUCGCCACUUUGUGUGUGAUUGAAUACUUUGUCAAAAGAGCUUUGAAUGUUUUGUUACAAAAGUGGGCACCACCAUCACUGAUUAUCGCUCGAGGGAAUCCAAAGCGUGAAACAAUGUUGCUUUUCAAAAAUCCUAUCACCACUUUGUGAUCAUUGGUUCUGCAUGGAAUUGCUUCCACCCAUUUCGAUACGUAGUCAACACCAACCAAUAUGUAUUGAUGGCCAAAAGAAGGGGGAAAGGGUCCCAUGAAGUCGAUACCCCAUACGUCAAAAAUCUCAACCACUAAAAUUGGAUUUAGUGGCAUCAUGUUCCUUCGUGUAAUGCUCCCCAUUCGUUGACACCUAUCACAUGAAGAACAGAAAGUGUAAGCGUCUCGAAAUAUAGUUGGCCAAUAGAAACCACAUUGUAAAACUUUUGUAGCUGUUUUCUUAGCACUAAAAUGGCCUCCACACGCUUGUUCAUGGCAGAAUGAAAGGAUAUUUUGAAUUUCACUUUCUGGGACACAUCGCCUAACAAUUUGAUCUGCACAAUACUUGAACAAAUACGGGUCAUCCCAAAAGAAAUUCUUUAUUUCCGCAAAGAAUUUAGCCUUGUCUUGCUUGGUCCAAUGCUCUGGAAGUUUACCUGUAACAAGAUAAUUAACUAUAUCAGCAUACCAAGGUAAUACUUCCACAUUCAUUAAUUGUUCAUCUGGAAAUGACUCAUUCAAUAUUAAUGGAUCUGUAAUUGUGUCAAAAUGGAGACGAGAGAGGUGGUCCGCCACAACAUUUUCUGUGCCUUUCUUAUCCUUGAAUUCCAAGUCGAAUUCCUGCAAAAGUAACACCCAACGAAUUAGUCUAGCUUUUGCAUCUUUCUUUGUGAGAAGAUAUUUAAGAGCAGCAUGAUCUGUGAAUAUAAUUAUUUUACAACCAAUGAGAUAAGAUCGAAAUUUCUCUAAUGCAAACACUACUGCUAGCAUUUCUUUUUCAGUAGUUGAAUAAUUCAACUGUGCAUCAUUCAAUGUCAUACUAGCAUAGUAAAUAACGUGGGGAAUUCGAUCAACUCUUUGUCCUAAUACUGCUCCUACUGUAUAAUCAGAUGCAUCACACAUGAGCUCAAAUGGUAAGUUCCAGUUUGGGGCCUGAAUGAUGGGUGAUGAUGUCAACAACUGCUUUAAUUUUUCAAACGCCAUGAGACAUGAAUCAUUAAAGAUAAAAGGUACAUCCUUAGCAAGUAAAUUGCAUAAGGGUCUAGAAACUUUGCUAAAAUCUUUAAUGAAACGUCUAUAAAAACCAGCAUGUCCAAGGAAAGAUCUUACUUCUCUGACUGUUUUAGGUGGAGGAAGAUUAGAAAUGAGAUCCACCUUGGCUUUGUCAACCUCAAUACCUUUGCUCGAAAUGAUGUGACCGAGAACAAUACCUUGUUUUACCAUAAAAUGGCACUUCUCCCAAUUCAAGACUAAGUUCUUCUCGGUACAUCUCUGCAGAACUAGCGUUAGAUGAUGUAAACAUUGAUCAAACGAGUCACCAAAGAUAGAAAAAUCAUCCAUAAAGACUUCAAGGAAUCGUUCAACCAUAUCAGAAAAAAUGCUCAACAUGCAUCGUUGGAAUGUAGCAGGUGCAUUACAUAAUCCAAAUGGCAUUCUCCUAUAUGCAAAAGUGCCAAAAGGGCAAGUGAAAGUAGUUUUCUCCUGAUCUUUUGGUGCUAUGGGAAUCUGAUUAUAUCCUGAGUAGCCAUCUAGAAAGCAAUAAAAUUCAUGGCCUGCUAAUCUAUCAAGCAUUUGAUCAAUAAAUGGUAAAGGAAAAUGGUCUUUACGUGUGACAGAAUUCAACUUUCUAUAAUCAAUGCAUACACGCCAUCCUGUAGUUACUCUAGUUGGUAUCAAUUCAUUAUCAGCAUUGGUAACUACUGUGACUCCUGACUUUUUGGGGACGACUUGUACAGGACUGACCCAUGAACUAUCAGAAAUUGGGUAAAUGAUACCUGCAUCUAAUAGCUUAAGGACUUCAGUUCUAACAACUUCUUUCAUGUUAGGAUUUAACCGACGUUGCAUCUCCCUAGUAGUUUUAGCAUUUUCAUCAAGGUGAAUGUAAUGCAUGCAGUCUACUGGAUUUAUACCUUUUAUGUCUGCUAUGGUCCAUCCUAAUGCCCCUUUGUGCUCUUUUAACACAUCCAACAACUUACCUUUUUGUUCGUCAUUUAGGGAUGAUGAGAUGAUUACCGGUAGAGUGCUUUCUUCUCCCAAAAACGCAUAUUCCAAUGUGUUGGGCAAUUGUUUGAGCUCGAGUUUUGGUGGUGAUUCUGAUGAUGGGAUGAGUUUCUUUUCUGACGGUGCUAGUUGUUCUACUCUUGACUUCCAUUUAUUAGUGUCCAUGGAUGGUGCUGAGUCAAGUAGGGCGUUGACCUCUUCGACCGAUCUAUCAAUAUCAAAAUCCAAACCAAAGUGAGUUAAGCAUGUUUGUAAAGGAUCAUCACUAAGGUUUGAAAGAAAAGUAUUAUCAACUAUUGUUUCUAUUAAAUCCACAUCAACAAUUCCAUCAUCUGCACUGUGAGGUUGUUUGGCAAUGUUAAAGAUGUUUAGCUCCAUAGUCAUGUUGCCGAAGGACAAUUGCAUAUUUCCGGUCCUACAUUGAAUAUGAGCAUCUGCAGUUGCCAAGAAAGGUCGGCCUAGAAUAAUGGGGAUGUGCUUCCUUGAGUCCUGUAUUGGUUGAGUGUCAAUUACAAUGAAAUCAACAGGAAAAUAAAACUUGUCUACCUGGAUAAGCACGUCCUCCACAAUACCACGAGGUAUUUUUGUGGACCGAUCUGCAAGUUGUAACACCACUGGAGUUGGGUGUAAUUCUCCCAGUCCAAGUUUCACGAAUACAGAGUAAGGUAACAAAUUUACACUAGCUCCUAAAUCCAACAAAGCAUUCUCAAUUGUGUGGUUCCCUAUACUACAUGAGAUAGUGGGGGAGCCUGGGUCUUUGCAUUUUAAAGGAAUUUUAUGUUGGAGUAUAGAACUAACGUUUUCUGUUAAAAAUGCCUUCUUUUGAACAUGCAUAUUUCUCUUUUUAGUACAAAGGUCUUUAAGAAACUUGGCAUAAGAUGGAAUUUGUUUUAUAGCAUCAAGCAAAGGGAUAUUGACACUUACCUGUUUGAAGAUUUCGAGAAUCUCACCUGUGGAUUUUCCCUUCUUGCCUUUAGCUAACCUCUGAGGAAAUGGAGCUUUCGGAAUAUAUUCUCGUGGGUUGGUUUCUUCUCUCUCCUCCGGUGGUGAGUCCUCAGCAUUUACAGGUACAAUUUGAUUUUCUUUUGUCACCUGCAUCUCCACUUUAUUGUCGACUUCUUUUCUUUUUCUCAAGGUCAUUACUGCUUUGACCUCUCCAUGCUGCUGUGGUGAACUGGUACUUGCUUCAUGCACUCCUUUAGGAUUAGGCACUGGUUGACUCGGAAACUUGCCUUUCUCAACAGUCAUUGCCAAGGUCUGAACUGAAGAAGCAAGCUGUCCCACCAUCUUCUCGAGGCUUGAAACUGAUUGGGCUUGUGAAUUGAAGCCCGCUCUCAACUCAUUUCGUAGUCCAUCAAUGGUGCGAUUCUGUUGCUCAAUCGUGGAGUGAGUAACAUUCUUGAAAUUCUGGAAUGCAUCCUCCCAUGGUCUGGGUUGAGAGUAGUUCUGGUUUUGAUUGUAUGGUCUAAAUGGUGGCUGAGAGGCUUGAGGAUUUUGAGGAAUUGGUUGCAUUGGUGGAGCUGGAGCUGCUGGUCCAUUCUGUUGAAAUCCUUGAGACCAUGAAAAAUUGGGGUGGUCUCUCCAUCCAGGAUUAUAUGUGUUGGAGUAUGGGUUGUAAUUAGAUGGCUUUCUCAUUACACCUAUGGCAUUGGCUUGAUCGGAGUAUGAGUCAUGGUCAUGUGGUUCUGUUGAUUUAGCAGUCGAUAACGAUGCUAUUUGUCGAGCAAGACCUUCAACCAUCUCCUUGACUUCUUUGAUUCCCGAAGUUGACUCGCCAAUGUGAACCUCAUUCACUCCUUUAAUCCUUCUAGUAUUCCUGAGUGAUCGACUCCGUUGUUGGGAAUUAUCCGCUUGUCGCUGGAAGAAUUCCCAAAUCUCUGUUGCGCUUUUUGACAUUAGCUCUCCUCCACUUGUUGCCAUUAGCCAUUCUUGCACAUUCGGCAAUAAUCCCUCCAAAAAGUAUUGGCAUUGGUGCCAUUUUUCGUACCCAUGAUGUGGACACUUCAAGAGUAGUCCAUUGAAUCGCUCCCAAGUUUCGAAAAACUGCUCGUCCUCUCUUUGUGUAAACUCUGAAAUUUCCCUGCGAAUAGAAUUGGUUUUAUGCACUGGGAAAUAUUUAUUUAGAAAUUUUGUUACCAUUUGUUCCCAUGAUGAAAUGCUAUUGGCAGGCAAUGUAUUAAGCCAUGAACGAGCUCUAUCCUUUAAAGAAAAUGGGAAUAGUCUAAGUUUUACAUCAUCAUCUGAAAAAUUUUCAUAUUUAAAAGUUUGACAAAUAGCAUGAAAAUCAUUCAAAUGAUUAUAUGGGUCCUCAUUUUCUAGGCCAUAAAAUGUGGGGAGACAAUUUAGCACACUAGGUUUUAAUUCAAAACUCCUAGCAGCUACAUUUGGGUAUCUUAUGCAUGAUGUGCUCAAAUUAGCUAAGGGACUAAAAUAGUCCUUAAAUGGCCUCUCCUGUGGUGCUUGUAAAUCCAUUUUAUUUUUAACGUGUUUGUGUGUGCGAAGUGUUUUUUCUAAUUCAAGGUCUAUAGGUUCAAUAUUAGGUAAUAAUGACCUACGACCAUGCAUGCAAAAUAAAUAAAAUAAAAAUAAAGAUGCAAACAAAACAAAAAAUAAAGAUGGGAACAAAACAAAUAAAAAAUAAAGAUGAGAACAAAACAAAUAAAAAUAAAGAAGAGGGAGAAAUUACGAUACUAACCUCAUUGCGCUAUUACAACCUUACUAUAAAAAUACACAAAAAUAAAUACGUGAAAUAAAUUAACUAAAAAUUAAAUUAAUAAGAUAAACAAAAAUUACAAAGAAAAAAUAAAUUGAAAAUUAAAUUACAGAAUUUUAAAGAAGAGAAAAAGAAAAGAAAUACUAACCUUUAAAUGUAGAUUUACUCUUUUUUUUUAAAGAACAAAAAAAAAAAAAAAAUACAAGAAAACAAUUUAAAAUAAAUUAUUCACAAAAAUUAAUUCUAUGAAUUAAAACUACUUACCUCCCCGGCAACGGCGCCAAAAACUUGUUGUGCAAAUUUUAAUGUACUCGCAAGCGCACGAAUCUAUUGUAGUAUAGAUCAAUGGUGACGAGUGUCGAUCCCACGAGGAGGUGGAUUUUAAUUGUGUAUAGAAUUAAUUUUGUAAAUGGGUGGUUGGAUCUGUGGUGGAAAUGAAUUGGAAUAUGCUAAAACUUAAAUUAAAAUGGCGAGAAUAAAUUCUAAAAUUGGAAUUGCAAUGGCGAGAAUAAAUUGAAGAGAAAUGUAUUGAAAUGACGUACUUGGGUAUCUGGAUCCGUAUCAACAUGCAUCAUGGGCUAAAUAAUCCGUAUUAAUGCCAAUUAAAUCAUGAGGGGGGAAUCCACACCUCAUGAACCACGCUCUAAUCAAUAUGGUGCUAAGGGCUUAUCGUGCCAAAUAAUAAUAACCUUAUACUAGAGAGCCGGUGUAACCAAGGCGGUAUCUAGACAAGAUCAGUAUUAUUUGUCGACGAUAAGUCAAAUCAUCCACAAAAACUAGAGGGGAAAAGAAAAUAAAUUUACCAAAUAAAGCCCAUGACACAUGUUGAGACUUCACCUUCAACCCAAGCUUGAAAGGAAAUUAGCUACUCAUAAUUGAACUAGGGGCAAAAUGAAAAUUUAUUAAAAUACGAAGAAAAUACAAGAUGGAGAAGGAAUUACAGAAAAUGGAUCCCAAAAAUGGAUUCAGAGAUAUCAAAUUAGGGGGGGGAGGCCCCUUUUUUAUAGAUACAUGGAGUAAAUCAUGGCCAUCGGAUUAAAAACAGUUUGGACGCUCAGGAUUGCGCCACGUCAUCAGUCAACAGUCCACGGUUUGACCACGCGGAUGAACAGUAACACGGUUUGACCACGCGGAUGAACAGUAACGCGGUUUGGUUGAAAAUAAUCCUGUGUGAUGCAUGCACCGUACGCGAGAUUUUUCGUCCACUGAUAUGCUGCCACGUCACCAUCAACAGUACAUAAGAAUUUUAGUCCAACAGGAUCGUGACACCUCAUCAGUCAAUGCCACAUCAUCGGUCAAUGCCACGUCAUCGAUCCGUCUAUGUGAACAGUGUCGUGAACAGUAACGUAGACAGUACCGUAUACGUGAAUAGUACCGUACAUGUGAAUAGUGCCAUUUUUCUUUUUAUGCCCCUCCUAAGGUUUUCGACCGUCCUGAGUUCAAAAGUGAUGUCCGUUUUGCCAUCUGAUCUCUCCUUUAUUGUGAAAUAACUAUAAUGCCCCUAAAAUACAUAAAAUACUUAAUUAAAAUAAAACACAUGUAAUUAAAUCACAAGAAGGUUAAAUACAUAAAAGUAAGGGUUGUUAAUAAGACUUGAAAUGUAAAAUGACGGUUUUCUCCUUUAUAAAUAUGCAUUUUCUAACACUCAACACUAGUGAGGUUCCAUUUAGGUGUAUUGGGGUUGUGGGUUUUGUGAGUUUUUUCCACUUUUGUAAAUUCUCAUUAUUAGUAAAAUUAUCUUCCAAUCUUUGCCCGUGGACGUAGGCAUUAUGCCGAACCACGUAAAUUAUUGUGUUUAUAUUUUCUUUGUAUUUGUUUGGCACAUUUAUAUUUCUCCAAAAGUUACAUUCAUCGUAAUAUUGGUAAUUGCUCAACCUCGCACUUCCGCAACAAUUGGUAUCAGAGCAGAAGGUUCGUGCUUGGGGCAUACAACAUUGUUCACGUAUACGGAACUGUUCACAAAUACGGUAUUGUUCACGUAUACGGUAUUGUUCAUUGAUAUGGUGGAGAUGGUCAUUUAUACUUGGGAGACAGUCUAUUGAAAGUAGUGUGUAUUUUUUCAUGUCUAGGAAAGUCCUGUCAACAAGGCGAUAAAAGCUUAAGGAGUCUGGUUUUAAGUGGGACCGUUGUGACCCCUCCAUUCUCCUAGGAACUUUCCUGGUGCAUUUAUUCAUGCGAAAUAAAUAUCAUAGAGGCUAUUUUUCAAGUGUAAAUAGUUGUUGAAGAAACUGAUCAUUUGAGAUAAAAAUGAUGGCAGAGGCAUCGUCGUCGUCGUCGUCUUCAUCAGCAAGGACUACUGUGACUAAUGCAAAGUUUGAAGUGGAGAAAUUCAAUGAUACCAAUAAUUUUGGUAUGUGGCAAUGUGAGGUGUUGGAUGUCUUAUGUCAGUAAGAGUUGGACGUUACUCUUAAAGAAAAGCCUGACAUAAUGGAUGACAAGGAGUGGAUAAAGAUCAAUAAACAGGUAUGUGGUACUAUUCGCCUAUGUUUGGCUAAAGAUCAUAAAUACUUUGUUAUAAAGGAGACAUCGGCAAAGAAAUUGUAGGAGACAUUGGAAGAAAAAUAUAUGAAGAAAAGUAUAUAAAGAAAAGCCUUAAAAAUAAGCUUUAUAUGAAGAAGAAACUUUAUCUAUUCACAUAUACACCUGGCAUGUCGAUGAAUGACCAUGUAAAUUCAUUCAACAAAAUAUUGGCAGAUUCACUAAAUUUGGAUGAGAAAUUUGAAGAUGAAGAUAAGACACUGUUGUUUUUUAAUUCCCUUCCUGAUGAAUAUGAUCAUCUCACUACCAAUUUGCUUCAUGGGAAGGGCAGUGUCACAUUCGAUGUUGUAUGCAGUGCAUUGUAUAACUCUAAGAUCAGAAAGAAAGAUAGAAAAGAUCACAGAGAUACAGUUGUAGAAGCAUUAACAACUAAAAGUCGUUCACAAGGCUGUAAACUUGGAAAAAGAAGCAAGUCUAAAGGGAGACCUGCCAAAGAUGAGUGUGUUUUUUGUCGCGAGAAAGGACAUUGGAAAAAGAAUUAUCCUAAGUUACAAAAGGAUAAGGCUUCUUCUUAUGCAUGUGUAGCAGAGUAUGAUGAGGAGUCAGACUUUAGUCUGGUUGGCAUGACGUUGACAUGUUACUUAGAUGAGUGGUUUUUGUAUUCGAGUUGUGCUUAUCAUAUGUGUCCUAACAAGGGUUGGUUUUCUAACUUCAAGGAGCUGGACGGUGGAAUUGUUUUUAUGGGCAAUGACAAUGCCUGUAAAACCUUGGAAAUAGGUACAAUUCAAUUAAAAAAUCGUGACGGUUCAAUCAAAGUCUUGACGGAUGUUCACUACAUACCAAGUUUAAAGAAAAAUCUCAUCUCAUUAGGAGUCCUAGAAUCUAAAGGGCUCACAAUCACUCUGAGAGAUAGAUUAUUAAAGGUAGUAGCUGGCACACUAACGGUGAUGAAAGACACAAGAAGAAAUAACUUGUACUAUUUUCAAUGGAAUACAAUUAUUAGAUCAGCAUCAACAGUUUUUGGAAGAGAUGCAGAUUCAGAAGCAACCAAGUUGUGGCAUAUGCGUUUGGGACAUGCUGGUGAAAAAUCUUUACAGACUCUAGUGAAGCAAGGCUUAUUGAAAGGUGCAAAUUCUUACAAAUUAGAAUUUUGUGAACAUUGUGUUUUAGGCAAGCAGACAAUGGUAAUGUUUAGUUCAAUAAUUCACGAUACAAACUUCCUCGGGGGAGCAUUAAAACCUUCGAGCAGAUGUGCCAGGAAUUUGCAGAGCAGUUUCGUGGGGCAAUGGCACCAGAAGAUGCCAUGAUGGAAUUGAAAAACAUGAAGCAGGGGGAAUAAUAAACACUUCGGGAAUUCAUCAAGAGGUUUUACCAUGUUGUCCUUGAUUUGGGAGCCUUCAACCAUCCUCAGGCAUUAAGGGGACUGAAAGAAUGGGUGAAGAUAGGAAGACUGUGGUACAACUUGAGAAGCCCAGUUAUUCAGACGUACGCCGCCGCAUACAAGCAGGCUAAGAGGGACAUUGAGAUUGAAGUGGAAAAGGCAGCACGGAUCAAGACAGACCAGUUAGAUGGGUUGGGGAAGAAAGAGAAGAAAGCAUUGCCAGGGAACGGGCCGAUCAGGAGGAGAGACCUUCAGGCCUCAAGUAGUGGAGCAGGAGAUCGGGUAACUACUGGCCAUCCUCAUCAGAGGCCACCACAGUAUCGGCGCAGCAGGGCGCAACCUCCUCGUUCCCCAGCUAGGGAGCCUUGGAGAAGCCAUGACUCGGCAUAUGGUGGUCUUCAUCAACACUCCCACGGUAGUAGGGGGCAGACCAGAAGUGCUGCCACCGCCUCCAACUCAGAACGGAGCAAAUAGAGAAAAAGCAGUGCACCUGAUCGACCAGAACCAGGACUAUGGGCAGUACACUUCCUUAAAGAUGUUCCUGGACGAGGUGUACGAGGCCAUAAAGGAUCGAGGGUUGCUAUACCUCCCUGCCUCAAUAACAAAACUACCCAGCAGGAGGGAUAAGGGACGCUAUUGUAAGUUCUAUGGCGCGCAUGGCCGUACUACAACAGAAUGUAGAGAUCUAAAGACCCAGGUCGAAGAUUUGGUGAGAAAUCGAUACCUGGACGAGUUUAUAGAGGGGACUUUCCCGAUGGUGGCCUCGACAUGCGAGGGGGAGCAGAGUGGCAGAAAUUUGAGGCACGAGUAGCCUACAGUAAGGGUGAUUGCUGGGGGCCCGACAUUGGCUGGAGAUUCCAACAGAUCUAGGAAGAACUAUGCUAGAUACGCCAUGACUAGUAAAGAGGUAUUCUUCAACACCCCGGCAGCCAAACGAGCAAGAGUCAGGCAAGUGCCAAUCAUGUGGACAGACGAGGAUGAAAAAGGGAUUUUAUACCCACACGAGGAUGCCUUAGUCAUCAAGGCCACUGUUGCUAGCAGGAAGUUUGACCGGAUACUAGUCGAUAUAGGAAGCUCGGUUGAUGUGUUGUUCAAGUCCACUCUAGAGGAGAUGAGAAUAGCAGACCUGAGGUUGGAGCACACCAACACCUCCUUGAAGGGAUUUGGAGGAGGAAAGCUGGUCCCCCUGGGUGUGGUCGAGCUGCCUAUCACAAUCGGAAGCUCCCCGACAGAAAGGACUAUGAUACUAGAUUUUGUGGUGGUUGAUGAAGAGGGUCCUUACCAGAUAAUCCUAGGUCGGCUGUUUCUGAGGAUGAGUAAAGCAGUACUGUCCAACCAUUAUCUUGCUCUCAAGUACCGGGUGAAUGGGGUAGUUGGAGUGGUACGAGGAGACCAGAGAAUCGCACGAAGCUGUUACUCCUCGGCAGCAAAGGAAUCGAUACAGAUAACAUCCCUUGAUACCCGAGUGAAAGCCAGGAAUGGCAACUUAUUGGACUCGGAGUUUACAAGCUGGUUCGCAAGGACGGCCACGAGGUGAAAUGCCCAUGGAACGCAGCACACCUCCGAAAAUACUUCCAGUAAGACUUGUUCACAUUUGAAAGCUAUUUCUGCUCGUGUUCAUUAUCGUUUAUCUUUUAUGUUUUAUAUCCAAACAAUUUCAUGUAAGUCGAAUCCUGCCAUUAAUGGAACGUCGAGGAAUUUCAUUCGCUUGAAACUGUGAAAAUUUCCUAAGGCAUGCAAAGGCUCGUCAAGUCUCAAAGCCUGUUUAUGGCGAGACCAGAAGCCAAGCGUGCCAGGAUCUGCUCGGCCACGAGAAGGCGAGCAGAAUCCCAAGCUUUGAAGAAAUUACCUAAGGCAUGCAAAGGCUCGACAAAGUCUCAAAGCCUGUUUAUGGCGAGACCAGAAGCCAAGCGUGCCAGGAUGUGCUCGGCCACGAGAAGGCGAGCAGAAUCCCAAGCGUUGAAGAAAUUACCUAAGGCAUGCAAAGGCUCGUCAAGUCUCAAAGCCUGUUUAUGGCGAGACCAGAAGCCAAGCGUGCCAGGAUCUGUUCGGCCACGAGAAGGCGAGCAGAAUCCCAAGCGUUGAAGAAAUUACCUAAGGCAUGCAAAGGCUCGUCAAGUCUCAAAGCCUGUUUAUGGCGAGACCAGAAGCCAAGCGUGCCAGGAUCUGUUCGGCCACGAGAAGGCGAGCAGAAUCCCAAGCUUUGAAGAAAUUGCCUAAGGCAUGCAAAGGCUCGACAAAGUCUCAAAGCCUGUUUAUGGUGAGACCAGAAGCCAAGCGUGCCAGGAUCUGCUCGGCCACGAGAAGGCGAGCAGAAUCCCAAGCUUUGAAGAAAUUAUCUAAGGCAUGCAAAGGCUCGACAAAGUCUCAAAGCCUGUUUAUGGCGAGACCAGAAGCCAAGCGUGCCAGGAUCUGCUCGGCCACGAGAAGGCGAGCCGAAUCCCAAGCUUUGAAGAAAUUGCCUAAGGCAUGCAAAGGCUCGACAAAGUCUCAAAGCCUGUUUAUGGCGAGACCAGAAGCCAAGCGUGCUAGGAUGUGCUCGGCCACGAGAAGGCGAGCAGAAUCCCAAGCUUUGAAGAAAUUACCUUAGGCAUGCAAGGGCUCGACCAAGUCUCAAAGCCUGUUUAUGGCGAGAUCAGAAGCCAAGCGUGUCAGGAUCUGCUCGACCACGAGAAGGAGAACAGAAUCCCAAUCAUUGCAGAGAUUACCUAAGGCAUGCAAAGGCUCAUCAAGUCUCAAAGCCUGUUUUAUGGCGAGACAGAAGCCAAGCGUGCCAGGAUCUGCUCAACCACGAAAAGGUGAGCAGAAUCCCAAUCCUUGAAGAAUUGAAGGCAUGCAAAGGCUCGUCAAGUCUCAAAACCUGUUUAUGGCGAGACCAGAAGCCAAGCGUGCCAGGAUCUACUCGACCACGAGAAGGCGAGCAGACUCCAAAGCAUUCGAAAAAAUUCCUAAGGCAUGCAAAGACUCACCAAGUCUCAAAGCCUGUUUUAUGGCGAGACAGAAGCCAAGCGUGCCAGGAUGUGCUCGACCACGAGAAGGCGAGCAGACUCCGAAGCAUUCGAAAAAAAUUCCUAAGGCAUGCAAAGGCUCACCAAGUCUUAAAGCCUAUUUUAUGGCGAGACAGAAGCCAAGCGUGCCAGGAUCUGCUCAACCACGAGAAGGCGAGCAGACUCCGAAGCAUUCGAAAAAAUUCCUAAGGCAUGCAAAGGCUCACCAAGUCUCAAAGCCUGUUUUAUGGCGAGACAGAAGCCAAGCGUACCAGGAUCUGCUCGACAACUAGAAGGCGAGCAGACUCCGAAGCAUUUGAAAAAAUUCCUAAGGCAUGCAAAGGCUCACCAAGUCUCAAAGCCUGUUUUAUGGCGAGACUAGGAGCCAAGCAUGCUAGGGUCUGCUCGACCACGCGAAGGCGAGCAGAAUCCCAAGCAUUGAAGAAUUUUCAAAGGCAUGUGGCAAAACCAUGUGCCAAGCCAGAACCUGCUCGACCAGACAAAGACGAGCCGAUUCUCAAACGAAAAAUAACUCAUGAUUACGACACAAGAAAGUAAUCAAAAAUAUUUUUAUUAAUUUGUUAAUAAUUAACAGAGGAGAUAAUCUUCACAAACAUUGUUCAUUACAAUACAAGAAACAUAUUUAAGAAGAUGGUGGGUCCGCAAGCCGAGCAUCCUCAGUUAGAUGGUCCACCUCAGGUGCUGGGGGAGUAUCUCCAGUUGCGUCUGGGGGGGUACUCGCCUCACCAGCAUCAGCAGGGAUUACACGGGGAGGAGAGUUUUCCUCUUCUAUCACCAUUGGUGCCACCUCUUCGGCAUCCUCCUUUGCAGCCUCCUCGUCCAUAUGUUGGGCGACACCAGCUGCAAGGUCGUCCAUCUUUAGAUCAGGAUGCUGCUUCCCGAGGACGGCCAUGAUGCAACGAUAAGAAUGCCGAAGUCCCUGGUCGUACUGGUUGUCGGCCUCCUUCUCCAAGUUCUCGACCUGACCUCGGUGGGAAUCGCGGAGGGAUUCGAGCUGAGCCUCAUACAUAGCCUUCUGCCUUUGAAGAUCCUCCUUGACCUUGGCCAGCUCUUCCUCGAGAGUAAUAGCCUUGGCUUGAGCAAGAGAUUCUCGCUCAAUCAACUUCAGAUUCUCGAGGUUUAAGUCCCCUGCUUUCUUCUCAGCAACAUCAGCUCUGGUCGUCGCCGACUGAAUGUCCUCCUUCAUCUUCCUAUCAUAACGGCCAACCUUGGCCUUAUAGUAGGUGGUCAUGCAGCUGAGAUGGAAAGCGCUAUACUGCAUGGCCCCCACCAGCUCGCCUAAGGUGUAGCCAUCAAAGUCCUCGAGGUCCUUCUUGCUCACGAUUUUGGAAAGCUCGUUGAGAUAGGGGGCCAAGUGUUCUGCUCGGCUGUCAGGUAAACGAGAUCUAUGCCCGACAAGAGGCGAAGAGGAAGCAGGAUCAGUGGCUGCUCCACUGGUCUCGUCGAGUUUGGCAGAAAGAAGAGGUAAAGUCUUCAAGGGAGAGACCUGCUGCACGAUGUUGGCCCGCUUUGCAGUAGGGGCAUCCUUGUUCUGGUCCCUCUUCGUGGUUUGGGGUCGAGAACGUUUCCUGUUUAGAGCCCCAAUCACGGCGUCCUCCAUCUUAUGACCAGGGAGUAUCAAGCGAGACUCGAGCAAGUUGUAUGUAGUUAUCAGCUCCCGGCUCGAGCAGGAAUUGGCUAGCACAGCCUCGACCCGUUUGAGCUGGCCAGGUUUGAGCGAGAAAUGAACACCCCAAGAAACUACAACACAAACAGACACUUGGUUAGAGACAAACCAACAAAGCGAGAACAAUUACGGAUACAAGACAUCUAAAGCGAACAGGCAACCUGGGACCGUGAAACGGGGUGGAACGCGAUAAUCCUUCCCGUCUAUUUGUGCAACUUGACCCCAAGGACCCCCAGCAAAAAAGAAUUUCCUCUUCUAAUUCCCACCACCACCAGUAGGGAGGUCGGUUAUGGGUUUCCUGGUCUUGGUACUAGAUUGAAAGUAGUACCAGCCGGCAUCUUUGGGGCUGCUCUUUAGCUGGUACAGGUGCUUCACCUCAUCAACUGUGGACUCGCUUUGGCAACAUCUGUCCCACAAUAUGAACAGACCAGAAAGUACUCUCCAACCAUUUGGGUUCAGCUGACCAGGAGAUAGAUUCAGCCCGUUAAGUAUCCGGGCAAAGUAAGGUUGCACGGGACACCUCAGCCCAUACUUAAAACUAUCCAGAUACAGGGUAACGUAUCCCCUAGGAGGCCGGCUAGGAGUAUCCUUCUUUCCUGGGACCUUAAGAGGGAUUUCACCAGGAAUACUAUACCUAAGCCGGAGGUCAUUGAGCUCAUCAAACGUGGUUAUGCAUGUCAUGUAAUCAAUAGCGUAAUCCCGCGAUAGGGCUCUACCUCCUAUUGUACUCCGCCCUUCUGGUCGCGACGCUCCUGAUGGGGACACCUCGCCAGAAUCAUCUCCUCGGCCCUCACUCAGGGUGUUCUCCGAGCCAGAAGACCCCUCUUCAUCACUAUCUCUGCUCGAGGAGGUCGUUUACGGAGACAUCCUCCUAGCGCUAGUGCCGACACUAGAUCUAAUGGGCUCUAAGGGGAUCCCGGGGUCAAAAGCAGGAUCAGUGAGCAGACUAGGCAGGAAGUCCAACUCAUCGUCGUCAACCUCAAUGACCUUCUCUUUACCUUUCGACAUUCCCUAAACUCUAACCACAACACCACCACCAACUACUACCCGAACAAAAGAGAACAAAAAUUAUCUACAACUAUCCGAGACCAAGGAGAUAGAAGAAAUACCUGAAGUAAUGGUUCAGUCGGUGAAAGACAGAGAUGGAGGCCUUUAUGCCGGAACUUCUUUGCCGGAGAGACAGGGACGGAGACAGAGGGAAUGAUGAAUUUGCUGUUUGAAAGGAUUUAGGUUUCCUAAUGGGGACGGCCUCUUGGGUUGCCAGCAUUUAACGGCACCAAAUCCCAAGGGCCUCGUAACCGUUGGUUUGAAAUUCGAAUAGAGGGGCAGAUUUCUGCCACAUCACCUCGUCCGCAAUUAAAUGCGAUAUGACUCUUGGCAGCCUUUUCCAGUCCCACGCGACCAAGAACCGCUAAGUUUCUACUGCUGGUCCAUUACAUUACCCAACACCAGAAACUGGGGGACCGGUGUUUGAGGGAAAUACUCUGACGAGACCAGACGUGAUGAGCAGAUGUUUGGUGGUAGAAGUCUGCGAGCAGGUGUGUCCUGUAAGAGCCAGGUAGCAGGGGAACAGGGGCAGGAAUAUCCUGCUCAUCCACGAGCACGUCAUCCGCGAGGCCAAUUUCCUGUAAGAAGCAUAAAGCCAUUCCUGCUGUAUUCUUGCUAAGGGUUGAUUCGAGGAGACCCGGUCAACGACAGUUGGCGAGGCAUGCUCUCCAGCCCGAGAAUCUAGGCACGAAGGCCACGCAACCACCCACGACUACGGAAAUGGGGAAUCCACGUUCGAGAGGUGGGAGGAUAACGGACGUAGACUGCGGAAAACUGGGAUUCAGAGGAAGCCUAUAAAAAUGUAGCCAACGAAGGUAAAAUGGUUAGCAAUUUUGAGAUUAGAAGGGAGAUAAAGAAAUUCUAAAGAAGAGAAAACUACCCAAAAGCCAUAAGAUCUGUGGCAAGCGUUCCCCGAACCUUCAUAUCUGACUUGAGCGUCGGAGGGUUUGCGUCGGGAAAACAACCGGCGUACUCUGACUUGUCUGUGUGCGCAGGAACCUCUGGAGAAGAAGCUUUACGAGGAGAGAUCCUGGUCGUGGUGAAGUUGAUCGAGCAGAGACCCUGGUCGUAGAACGAGGAGAACCAGAAUCUCGCAUCAACAAAACGUGUAUUUCAACCUGAGUACUAGCGAUUACCAGUGACUGAUUAACACUUGUUUUAAUUGUAUUCAGCAGUCAUAAAAAUUUACUUUUUCUUGUUAUUUAUUUAUACCACACAUUUUGACUACCACAAACUUAAGUUGCUUGGCUGACGUAUUUACCACAAAUAAAAACUAACAUUCGAGGUUUUUCUUUCGACAUUUCUAUAGAUGUUUUAACAUUUUAGAUUACAAUAUUUUUCAAAACUUGAUUUAGUCACUGAUUGUUGACUACGACGACGACAAAAAAUCUAUUUCGUUGUGAAAAGGAAUCCACAAGAGUACAAGACGGAGCCUUGAUCCAGUAAUAUUACGGAAAAUGGUAUUUUGUUUCCUUACAAAUGAAGAGAGGUUCUGUCUUUGCAGUGGGUAAGGUGAGGGUAUAGAACAUAUUAAUGGCUUUACUUAUCAUCAUCAACUUCCUUCUGUGUCUCUCAAUCUUUGUCUUCUUCUUUGUUUUGCAAAGGAACAUAACCUCAAGAAAUAAUACUAAAUUACCACCAGGCCUCCGGGGCCUUCCUUUCAUCGGUAACGUGCACCAGCUUGAUGUCUCAAAGCCUCACGUGUUAUUUUGGGAACUGUCAAAAAAAUAUGGCCCCCUCAUGUCCUUGCGUCUUGGGUUUUCGCCAUCCUUAGUAGUUUCCUCGGCGAAAAUGGCUAAAGAGAUAUUACAAACCCAUGACCUUCAAUUUUGCAGCAGGCCAGCCUUGGUAGCACAACAAAAGUUAUCUUACAAUGGUCUUGAUUUAGCGUUUUCACCCUAUGAUGAAUAGUGGAGAGAGAUAAGAAAAAUUUGUGUCAUUCAUCUCUUUAACUCUAAUAGGGUACAAAAUUUUCGACCCAUUAGAGAAGAUGAAGUUUCAAGAAUGAUUGAAAAGAUUUCAAAAUCAGUUGGUGCUUCUAAUCCCGUAAACUUAAGUGAGGUAAUGAUGUCUCUUACCAGCACCAUUAUUUGUAGAAUUGGUUUUGGCAAGAGGUACGAUGAAGAUAAAGCAACAAGUGGAAGAAGUAGAUUCCAUGCCCUGCUUAAUGAAACUCAAGCCUUGUUUGUAAGCUUUUUUGUUACAGAUUAUUUUCCUUUCAUGGACUGGAUUGAUAACCUCAGAGGAAUGAUGAAACGCCUGCAAAAUAACUUCCAAGAACUCGAUGGAUUCUACCGGGAACUCAUCGACGAGCAUUUGGAUCCAAACAGAACUAAAUCAGAAUUGCCGCAACAGGAGGAUAUAAUUGAUAUUUUACUUCAAAUAAGAAAAGAUCGUGGAUUUAAAGCUGACUUGACUUUGGAUCACAUCAAAGCAGUGCUCAUGGUGAAUAAUUUUAUAAAUAGUUAUAUGUAGACCGGUGCUUAGGCACAGACUCAAAAUUUUGCGCAGAUACCCAAUUUUACAGUCUUGUAAAAUGUUUUAUAGUGCUGUCAAGUGCUCUCUGAUGUCCCCAUCUGAGCACGAUUAACUUAAUAUAGUUUUAUUUGCUUUAACUAAUCUUAUAUGUAUAUAUUUAUGUUCUUUUUUUUUUAAUUUGCUUUUUUAAGUAAUUUAAUAUGUAUAUAUGUAUGUUGUUUGUUUGGCAGAACG